GUCCUUUACACCGGACCUGUUAUUUCUGAGCCGAAAAAGGAGCCUUUAGAAGAACACGGAAUAUCGAAUUGGCUUGAGAAAUUCGAGCCAAGAUCAGUAGUGUUCUGUGCAUUUGGGAGUCAAUUGAUUCUUGAAAAGAAGCAGUUUCAAGAACUUGUUUUAGGCUUUGAACUGACUGAGUUACCAUUUCUUUUAGUUGUUAAGCCACCUCAAGGGACAAAUUCAGUAGAAGAAGCCUUACCAGAGGGAUUCAAAGAAAGGGUUCAAGAAAAGGGAUUGAUUCUUGAUUGUUGGGUGCCACAAUUGGAGAUUUUAAGACACAAAUCAGUUGGUUGUUUCGUAACUCACUGUGGUUAUGGGUCGAUGUGGGAGUCUUUGGCACUGUGUGAUUGUCAAUUGGUACUUUUGCCAAGGCCUAUUGAUCACAUUUUUAAUGCUAGGCUGAUGGAAAAACAACUUAAGGUUGGUGUAGAAGUGGAGAAAGACGAAAAUGAUUUGUUUACUAAGGAGAAUUUGUUCAAGGCUGUGAAAUGUGUGAUGGAUAAAGAUAGCCAAAUCGGUUGUCUUGUGAAAAAGAAUCAUAUGAAAUAGAAGGAACUUCUUUCAAGUCCUGGCUUCAUGAGUAACUACAUCGAUAACUUCAUUCAAGACUUGCAUGCACUUCUAGUUGAAAAGACCUAGAUAAUUAGCAGGGGUGGAUCUACGACAGACAAAAUCCAAUGUAUGUCUAAUCUAUUCAAUCAAUUGUUAUCCUAUUUUGAUAUUCAGAACUCAUAAGCUUAAAAUCGUGUAUCGAAUGUAACUUGCAUUUAUCAGAUACUUUCCUGCAGUGUUUAGGAGUUAUACAUCUUCUUUUCAAAUUUAGAGCUUUUUUUAUUAACAUUUUUAGAUCCUUCAAAUGCAUUUAUGAACCCUCAAAGAUAUACUGCAUAACUGAAGCUAAUAAUAUAAAUACGAAUUCAAGAAUAAAUACAUAAUAUCUGAUUCAUUCACAAUUUAAUACAAGAUUAUUCUUUUCAAUGAUAUGUGGGCAAUAAAAUUGAUCUCCAAGAGUUGAAAGAAAAGAUUAUUUCAUUAAAAUAAAAAUAGAGAGAAGAUAUAUAGAUGAAAUUGAGCACUAUUUAUAAAGGAUCAUGAUUUAUCCAUCUUUUGAACAUACCAAAACAUUCUUCAGGUUUGUAUCUACAAGCUGUGUGUCCUGAUCCCUUUUUUUUUUGAAAAAAAAAAACACAAAGUUAAAUACAAGUAUAAAGUUAAAAUAAGUCUCGUUAAAUAAAAAUCAAUCUGACUAAAUUGAGAUAAAUUAAUAAUUUCCAAUUUUCAUGAAAAUUAUUCUACAAUUAAUUUCAUACCUUCACUGUUGCAAAAGUCAUUUUGUUGGAGUAAGAUCUCGUAUAACUACAAGGAUACGAUAUUAGAAAAAAUGAUUAAGCAUUAUCAACUCACAUAAUAAUAAUUAGUUUUAAGAAUUCAUAAUUGUAAUUAAGGAUGUUAAAUUUGGAGAUUAAUUACCCAGCAACUUGAUUAUUUACGUUCCAUGGACGCCAAUCAUCAACAAUGGAGUAGUUUAGAGACUUUAUCCAUUUCUGUGUGGAUUGAAAAGGUACUGAAUAAUCAUGAUCGCCACUGUUUAAACAUGAAAAGAAAAAAACCUCCAUUUUAUAUUCAUGAAAUUAUUGUAAAUACAUCGAACAAUAAAAUUAUAAUGACAUGAAAAAAGUUCUUCUGUAUAUCUCCGCAGGGGCUCACAUAUCUUUUGAAGUAUUAAUCUUUUUUAGUUUUGUGGCACUAGGUGAGAUUUAGGACCCGCUUAAUCAUGAAAAUUUAUUUAUUUUUUUCAGAAAUUCUCUUUACUUUUUAAGAAAUUAGUAUUUGUUCAUGAAAAUUUCAAAUACAACUUGAAUUUGUAUUUCAAAUCUACUGUGUUACCACUUUUAUUAUAUUAGAAAAAAUACAUUCAAAUUAUAAACAUUAUUUGCAAAAAGUAUGAUCAAAUACAACUCUAACUUUAAAAGUUUCAAACAAUAAACAAUAUUUGAUUUUCAUGAUGAAACUUCCAUUUACUUUGUGUUAUUCAGAUAUCAUGCAAUAACUUUAAUCUCAUGCCAAAUAUAUAAAAUUUACAUAGACACAAACGGAACAAUAUUGAGUACUAAUUACCUGUAUAUAAGUGAUCGAUAACCUUUAGUGCUUAGAUUUGCAUGAUAUGGUACAACAUUAUCGAUCGUGAGAGUGUAGUUGGGAGGAGAGCCUACACUUGAAAUUUUGUUACAUUGUACCCAGCUUCCUAUGAUUCUCUGUGAAGAGUAAAAUUACGAGUAACUAAGUGAUAUAGUAAAAUUAUGUGAUAUAUAUACUGUACACUCUUAUUGUAAUCCACGUACCUUUCGAACAUGAAGAGCUUCUUGGACUUUCGGGUCAUUAGCCCAAUACUUCAUAUGCUUGCGCCAAUCAGACUGAAGUAAUUGAGAAUAAGUUUCUACAAUUACUAGUAUUUUAUUUAUUCAUUUAAGUUAUAUACACAAACAGUAAUGUGGUAAAAAAAAAUUAUGAAUGUCAAAAUGAUAAAACAUGUUUUGUAUAAGGAUAAAGCCUCGUCCACUAUGGAUUAUUUUCUUCAUUUUUAUCUGUCUUCUUCUUUUUUCAAUUUUUUUGGGAGAUAAUUUCGCAGAUGGAUGAGGAUAUUUUUCUUAGAAAAUCACUCAAUUUUGUUUUAUAAUCUAAAGUCACUUAAUUGUAUAAAACAAAGUUAAGCGACUUUCUAAAUGAUUUACCUAGAGUUGAAUAACCAUCUGUGAUAUUAUCAAAUAUAUACUUUUAUUUCUUUCUUUCUUUUGUUUUAGUAGUAUUUCUUCAUCACCGGACAUUUUAGGUUGAACAUGUAUAUAUAUGCUGGGAGACUCAAUUUUGUUUUAUAAUCUAAAGUCACUUAAUUGUAUAAAACAAAGUUAAGCGACUUUCUAAAUGAUUUACCUAGAGUUGAAUAACCAUCUGUGAUAUUAUCAAAUAUAUACUUUUAUUUCUUUCUUUCUUUUGUUUUAGUAGUAUUUCUUCAUCACCGGACAUUUUAGGUUGAACAUGUAUAUAUAUGCUGGGAGACUCAAUUUUGUUUUAUAAUCUAAAGUCACUUAAUUGUAUAAAACAAAGUUAAGCGACUUUCUAAAUGAUUUACCUAGAGUUGAAUAACCAUCUGUGAUAUUAUCAAAUAUAUACUUUUAUUUCUUUCUUUCUUUUGUUUUAGUAGUAUUUCUUCAUCACCGGACAUUUUAGGUUGAACAUGUAUAUAUAUGCUGGGAGACUCAAUUUUGUUUUAUAAUCUAAAGUCACUUAAUUGUAUAAAACAAAGUUAUGUGACUUUCUAAACGAACUGCCUAGAGUUGAAUAACCAUUUGCGAUAUUAUUUGAUAUUCCUAAUUUUUAUUCUUUUCUUUCUUUUAUUUUAGUAGUAAUUCUUUAUCAUCGGACAUUGUAGCUAGACCAUCUAUAUAUAUGCUAGGAGAAUAUCAAGAUAUAAGUCUAACCACCUCAAAUGUCGUUUCUGACAUACUAUAGUCUAUAGAUAUUAAAGUCUCUCAACGACGAAAAUCAGAAAUACAUAGAAAUAUAUAUAUAUAUAUAUAAAGAACUUACAGCACACUUGUCUUGACGUUGCAAGGAGAUGAGUUUUUCAUCAAGUAAUCUUCUCUCACCAGACAUUUGAUAUGGACCUUGAAGAUAAUCAUAUGUGCAAAAGGGCUCUAAUAUGUGUUCCCCAUUAAUGUUUUUAACUAACUGCAUAACUAUAUGUUAAUUUACUGACAUAAAAAUAACAAAUAACCUACUAUUACAUCGAUCAAUCGAUAAUACUGUAAAACAAUAAUUAUAACCUGCUUGAAAAUUCGAAAGUCAUUUGCACAUCCUUUAUUGUUGGGAUCUAUAUUUGUAUAUUCUCCUCCACAAUUCUUCUCUAAUGACUGUUAACACAAAUCAAUAUUCAAGUUAAAUUAACAUCUCAAAUUUUAAACCUAAUUAUAUAUAAUGUAGAAAGUAAUUAAAACAAAUUAAUUAUGACUUAACCUUAUAAAGUUCAUCAGAUAUAAGUCCCAUGCCAUAACUAAAAAGUAUUUGAUAAUUGUCUUCUUGAGGACGAAGUGUUCCAGGACUGCCAAUUAAAUACCCCUUAAAUUAAAAAAAAUAAAAUAUUACUUGAUGAUGGUAAUUAAUUAUUAGAUAACAAAUUCUAAUUAGAGAACUAUUAACCUGAAGAUUAACAAAUGGCUCUUUGCCUGCUGUAUUUCCUGCAUUUGCAAAAAUCAAAGAAUAAUUUCUUUAAGAUUUAUUAUAUGUAAGAAACGUAGUUUUUGAUCUAUAUAUACAUGAGUAAAAUCUUCUAUAUAAUUUUUCAACAAAUUAAGAAUAUUCAAUUGUCCAUCCUUCAUUCUGAUAAGUGUCUCCAUCGGGAUAUCGAUCUAUUAUGUAUCUAGCUAGUACGCGGUACAUCAAAUUGAUUAAUUUGGAACACGUAUGCAAUUUCUUUAUCGAUAGUAUACAUGAACCUUACCAUUUGAUAUCAAUUGGGCUACAACUGGUAUCAUCUUGCCAGCAUAUGAGUUUCCAGACAUGUAAAAUGGAUUUGAGAUGUAUUCUGGAUGAUCACUGAGCCACUGAAAUAAUAAAUUCAUAGUUGAGUAAACAUGAUUUCAAUUUAGUUUAUAAUGAAAAAUUUCAUAAAUUACGUACCCACCUUUCUUAGGAAUUCAUAGACAUAAUCAAAUGCUUGUACAUCAGUUUGCUUAUAUGCAACUUCAUUUGUUACAUAUGAGAAUCCAGUGUUUAUUGGUUGAUCUAAGAAUAUUACACUUGCUAUCUGAAAAUCGAUAAUCAAAUGAUAUAUAUGUUUAACUUUUCUUUUAUUAUGUAGUAUAUUAUAUUAUUAUAACAAUUUUUUUUGGUCAAAACAAUAUUGGAAAAAAAAAACUUACCUUGGUCCAUGCGUGUGGGUUUAGUACGAACGAGGGCAUACUCCCAUAGUAGACUUGUUCCACAAAACGGAGUGGUCCUAAACAAGAAAAUAUCUUAUUAUUAUCUUCGACUAUUUUUUUUUUUUUUAAAUAAUACAUUUUAUUCUUAGUAAUAAUUAAUUAUUUCUUAAAAUAUAUACAUCAAUUAAUAAAUGUAGUAUGGUUAAAUAGUUGUGACAAACAUUAGUUUUUAAUAAAUAUGUCAAAAUUUAAAUAUGACAAGUAAAAACAAAUAAAAAUGUAUUCUCUCCCCUCCCCCCCCCCCCCCCAAAACCCANNNNNNNNNNNNNNNNNNNNNNNNNNNNNNNNNNNNNNNNNNNNNNNNNNNNNNNNNNNNNNNNNNNNNNNNNNNNNNNNNNNNNNNNNNNNNNNNNNNNNNNNNNNNNNNNNNNNNNNNNNNNNNNNNNNNNNNNNNNNNNNNNNNNNNNNNNNNNNNNNNNNNNNNNNNNNNNNNNNNNNNNNNNNNNNNNNNNNNNNNNNNNNNNNNNNNNNNNNNNNNNNNNNNNNNNNNNNNNNNNNNNNNNNNNNNNNNNNNNNNNNNNNNNNNNNNNNNNNNNNNNNNNNNNNNNNNNNNNNNNNNNNNNNNNNNNNNNNNNNNNNNNNNNNNNNNNNNNNNNNNNNNNNNNNNNNNNNNNNNNNNNNNNNNNNNNNNNNNNNNNNNNNNNNNNNNNNNNNNNNNNNNNNNNNNNNNNNNNNNNNNNNNNNNNNNNNNNNNNNNNNNNNNNNNNNNNNNNNNNNNNNNNNNNNNNNNNNNNNNNNNNNNNNNNNNNNNNNNNNNNNNNNNNNNNNNNNNNNNNNNNNNNNNNNNNNNNNNNNNNNNNNNNNNNNNNNNNNNNNNNNNNNNNNNNNNNNNNNNNNNNNNNNNNNNNNNNNNNNNNNNNNNNNNNNNNNNNNNNNNNNNNNNNNNNNCUCUCCCCUCCCCCCCCCCCUCCCAAAUCUAUUUUUUACCUUAAGUUUUUCAAAGGUCUUUUAAACAUUUUAGAUUAUCAAUUUGACUUAUAGUACUUUUUAUGUAGUUUACAAAUAUAUAAAUUUUAUUUCAAAAAAUUUGAAGAUUUUCAUGAGCAAAUUGUCGGUCAAACUUAAACUGUUUGACUCUCGAAAAAUGAAAAGUGUCACAUAAAUUGGGACAGAGGGAGUAUUUUUUUUUGGGACAAGGCACAAGUAUCCCCUUAGACUAUGACCGAAAUUUCAGAGACACAUCUUAACUAAACUAAGGUCCUAUUACCCCCGAUCUCAUUUUUUUUUUGUAAUUUUAUAAACCUUUUGGCUUACGUGGCACACACCAUGACUCCACGUAGUUGAAGUGCUUGAGAGAUGUUUGGAUGCCACAUAAGCUAAAAAAGUGUACAAGAUUAUUUUUUUUAAAAUGGUUCGAGGGGUAAUAUGAUAUUAGUUUAGUUAAGAUAUGUCUCUGUGAUUUCAGUUAUAGUCUAAAGGGAUACUUGUGCUUUAUUUCAUUUUCUUUUAAAAUUAUAAAAACUGAUGACAUCAAAAUCAGACAAACAAAUUAAAAUCGGAACGACUACCUAUCCCAUUAACAAUGGCAGUGACAGCAGAGCAACCGGGUCCACCAGAUAGCCAAAUCAAAAGAGGAUCGGUAGUAGGCUCGGAUUCUGAUUCCAAAAAAUAGUAGAAAAGUUGCAACUCCUCAUCUUUACCAACUCCAACAUACCUAUUUAAUUAAUAAUUAAUUACCUUGUCAUAUAAUUAAAUUAAAAUAAAAUAAAAUAGGACUAGAAGGAGUAGUAAAUGAAAUGUAUUACUUUCUAUUAAGGGUUGCGUAUCUUUGAUUCGAUUUUGUUUUAAGGUUUAUUGGGUCGAUUUAUAUUUGUAGAUUAAAUCGUUAAGAAUUAUUAUAUAUUGAUUUAUUGAUUAACGGUUUAUCGAUUAUUGAUUAUAAUCAAUUCGGUUAUCGAUUUAACCAUUAAGAUUUGACAUAAAAAAUAAAAUGAUUAAAACUCAUUUAGAAACAUGUUGAACAACCAAAUAAAUCAUGCAUAUAAGUUGAUAGAUUUUAUCUUGCUAAAAAACAACACAGAAAUAAACUAUGAAACUAAGAGCAUGUUUGGCAUUGCUGAUCAAAACUGCUUAUUUGUAGAAGCAUUUUGUAAAAAUAAGUUUUCAGAAAAAUGCUUUUGAAAGAGAAACAAUUUUUGUUUGACUAAUUCUUUUGAAAAAUGUUUUUGAUAAACAAAUUGUGUUUGACUAAUAUUUUUAAAAAGUGCUUAUGAAAGUCAAAUUACGAUAAAAGGCAAGUAUUAAUACUAAGAUUAUUUUAUAGAGAGAAACUAUUUUAAUAUCUAUUAUAAAAAAAAUAUUUGAUUUUUAUUUUUAUUAAAUUAAAAUGUACAUAUUCAAUUUUUCAAUUAAUAUUAUACCUUUUUAUGGGAGGACUGAUAUCUUUAAUUGUUAUUUUUUUCUUCUAAUUUUACAAAAAUAUUGUUCUUACCUUUUUUUUUCUAUUUCUGAUACAAAAUAUAAAAUAAUUAUAAAUAAAUGUAAAAUAAAAUAUUUAUUAUAUAAAAAUAAAAAAUAAAACAUUUUAAAUGAAACUUAAUCAAACUUAUGAGAUAUGGUAAUUAAUUAUUAAGUGAUAUAUUGAUAAAUAUGUAUACCUGGAGGAGAUAUUUUAUUCUUGAAAAAAAUAAUUUCUGAUUUCUACUUCUGAAACAAUUUUUUUAGUUUCUUCCCAACAUUAGAAAAACUAAUUUUUGCUUCUAUUUAAAAACAAUUUUACUGAUUUGUCAAACAAUUAUUUUUUCACAAAAAGUGAUUUUCUCAAAAUAAGUGUUUUUGGCCUCCCAACAACAAUAUCAAACAGGUUCUAAAUUCUAAAUCAAUGACUUCAUAAAUCGAAUGGUAUAAAUAUAAUUUAUUAAUUUACUAUCGAAUUAUCAAUUAACCUGUUAAGAAAAAACCUCAACCAUUAAUAAUCAAUAACUCGAUAAUUACAAAAACAAAACCGUUAAAUUAUACCGAUAAAUCAAUAACUCAUUUUUUAUUCGUUUUAUCAAUUUCAAUUUGAACCGCCCUACUUUCUAUCGAUAUUACCACCAACCUCCUACAAAUCAUCUCCACAUUGCUAUUUAUAUCUAAUGUAGUUAUUCUAAAACUUAAAACCAACCAAAUUUAAAAAUUCAAACUUCACCUCUAAUAUUGCCACGAAAACAUAGUUUUAUUUUAGGAUAAAAAUCUUCUCGUUCUCAAAUAAAUAAAUAAAUGCAAACGAGCUCACCCGGUCUCUAGAGGGAACGGGAGGCGUCCCUGCAAACCGGGAAGAUACUCAACAGUAGAAUGCGAAGCAGCUUGUUGUUGUUGUUGAAGAAGAAGAAGCAGUAGCAGCAACAACUUUUCCAUUAUUGUUGCUAAAUUAUCGAUACUCAUUUUACCAAUAAAUUACUAUUUAUCAUAUAUUAUUGAUGAUAAGGAGCCAAGGGACCUCCACGUGGACAAAAUAUAACAACAAUUUUAGGUAUGUUCUGGUCCCCGUAGAAGUAAUUUUGCUGAAUAAGUGGUGCUAUACGCAAGUAUUUAUUAAUGCGGCUACAAUAAUGAGAUUAAACUCUCGAAAAAGACUAAACAACUAUUAAUAUGUUAUCAAUAUCUUGGUACACGAAAUAAGAUAAAAUGAACUUGCAAAAAAAAUUCUAAUUUUAAUCCAAUGGAAUUAUAAUUCAAAUAAUUUCAACGGAAUUCUAGUUCAGAAAUUCUGCUUGCAUCAACAAAACCUCUAAACAUGCAUCAAAACUGCAUUCAGAGAUCUAAGAAGGGAAAUUUAUAGAAAUUUCACUAGCUUAGGAGUUAAUUUAGUUUCUAACAUUACAAAGUUUACUAGGUUUUGGUGAGUUCAGAUACAUAUAUCUCGGGAUAUGUAGGAUUAAAAUUAAGUGUAAAUGUGUAAUUUAUAUUCUAGAUACACCGUAUCCAAAUGAAUUCACAUCUAUCUGAAAUAGAUAUAUUAUCCUAUGAUCCUUUUGGACAAGUGACAUAAAAUUAGAUUGGUAUAAAAUUAAAUUUUAUUUGAACAUUCAAUUUGAAUUUUUUAAAGUGCAAAUCCUGAUACAAAAAUAAAUGUGCAAAUACAGUCUAAAGCUUUUACAAACGAUUCAUUUAAUUUUCUGCUCCCAAAUGUAGUCCAUUUACUGUCUCUAAAUUAAUUAUAUACCUUUUGUUUUGGUCCGUAAGAAUUUUUUUAUCUUAAAAGUCCCAAUAAGUUUUCUUUCUUCACUUUUUUUUUUUUGGAAUUUAAAUAGUGUAUUUUUUUUAUUUAUAAAUAUCUCAAAAUGUAUAUUUUAUCAUCUAAACAUAAGAAGAAAUUGUAACUUAUCGUAUAAUUAUGAAUAUCUAUAUGUUAAUUUUGAAACAUUCAUGAAUUAAUUUAAGAGCAAUUUUCACAUAUAGCAAACAUAAAAAUUAUAUUUGUAUGUUAUAGCUAUAGUUUGUAUAAUUGCGCUCCAUAGCAAAUUUUUAUGUUUUGAUAUGGAGCUUUUGAUUUGUAUAAUUCGCUAGAUGCAUCCAAUUUUUAUACAAAUUGUUCAGUUUUUGUAUAAAUUCAUUUAUACAUUGUAAUUUGUAUAAUAAGAUUUGUAUUUGUAUAAUUAUAAGUGUAUAGGACGAAAAUAUAUGUAUUUGUAUUUGUAUAUACACUUUUCUCUCGCUUUUAUACAAAUACAAACGCAUUUUAUACAUUUGUAUACCGAAAAUGGCUAAUUGUAUAUCGAAUCAGAUGGCAAAAAAAUGGGAUGUUUGAUGCGAAUUACAAAUAGAAUAAACUAUGGCUAUACCAUUUAAUUUAAAAUUAAUAGUUUGUUAUUUCAUACAAUUUUCCCUUUAAUCCAAAUCUAACUUUAAAGAUUGAUCAAAUUUAACUUUUAAAAAGCAAAAACUACAUCAUAAAUUAAAAUAUUACAUAAAAAUUUAAUUUAAUUUUUUACUUUUUUAAAGUUCAUACAAAUUUUAAAUAAAAUAAUCAAAUAAUAUAAAAUGAAGAGAGCACUAGAUUGUUUUAUUUGUGGCACAUACUUUUCUCUACGUGGAUAAAAUAUAACCACACUACUUUAGUUUAAUAUUUUAGGUAUCCUUAGGUCCCGCAGUAGUAAUUAUUAAUUUUGCUGAAUUAAUGGGUCAUGCAAGCUGGUUAGAUGUGUGAAAUAGAGGACUCGUACGUAUUUGUUAAUGUGGCUACAAUAAAGAGAUUAAAUUCUUGAAAAAGACUAAACAACUAUCGAUCUGCCAUUAAUAGCGAAAUAAGAUAGAAUAUUUGAGAAUUAAACUUAAUUCUGAAAGAGAAAGGAAUUCACUAUCAAGCUAGCUAGCAAGAGAAGUAGAGAGAUAGAUUAUAUAUAUCUGUCCAAGACUUUAGCAAUUUUAAUUUAUUUGGGUUAAGAUAGAUAAAAGGUUGGACAUGAGUUUCAAUUUGGGAAUGACUUGUUUUUAAGAAAAAUGGGUAAUUUGAACUGAUUUGAGGCUUUUCGUUAAAUUAGAGAUAUGGGUGACAAGUUUGUAAAUGGAGGGAUUUAAAUGGCCACAUAUUAUAACGCAUGAUAAAACUAACAAAGUUGCGGAAUAUCUCUGAUCCUUCUCCUAAUAAAAUUAGAAAAAAUUAUUUAAAUAUACAAUUUAUUUUAUCAUGUUCUCUAAAAUUUCCUAUCACUUGUAAAAGUUACAAAAAUCUCUACUCUCUCCUAUUCUCGCAUACAUCAUUUUACACGAUUUAUCGGUCAGAUACAUUAUUUUACAUGAUGUAUCGGUCGGAUACAUCACUUACGCUAUGUAUCAGGACGUUGAGUGAUGUAUCCAAAAUCCAAUUUGAAAAGCCAGUCCUUUACACCGGAGCUGCUAUUUCCGAGUAAAAAAAGGAGUCUUUAGAAGAACACGGAUUAUCAAAUUGGCUCGAGAAAUUCAAGCCAGGAUCAGUAGUGUUCUGUGCAUUUGGGAGCCAAUUGAUUCUUGAAAAGGAACAGUUUCAACAAGUUGUUUUAGGCUUUGAACUGACUGAGUUACCAUUUCAUUUAGUCGUUAAACCACCUAAAGGUACAAAAUCAGUAGAAGAAGCUUUGCCACAGGGAUUCAAAGAGAGGGUUCAAGAGAAGGGAAUGAUUCUUGAUUGUUGGGUGCCACAAUUGGAGAUUUUAAGACACAAAUCAGUUGGUUGUUUUGUGACUCACUGUGGUUAUGGGUCGAUGUGGGAGUCUUUGGCGCUGUGUGAUUGUCAAUUGGUACUUUUGCCAAGGCCUAUUGAUCACAUUUUUAAUGCUAGGCUGAUGGAACAACAACUUAAGGUUGGUGUAGAAGUGGAGAAAGAUGAAAAUGAUUUGUUUACAAAGGCUGUGAAAUGUGUGAUGGAUAAAGAUAGCCAAAUUGGUUGUCUUGUGAAAGAGAAUCAUAGAAAAUGGAAGGAACUUCUUGUUGGGGUUUAUUUGCCCCGAUUUCUUACCAUAAAUAGGUUUUCCUUUUAGGAAAAGGUUUUAAUAUUUUACUAGUCCUUUUCUUGUAGGAAAGGUUUAGGACUCUAUAAAUAUAGGUUUGUUCCUUCUAACUUAAUUAGCAUUCACAAUGUAGUCCUAGGGUUUUGAGAGUUGCGGUUAUGGGGGAGAGUUUUGUGUACCUCCUUGUAUUCAGAGUGAAUUGUUUGAGGUUGUUUCUCUCCAUAUUUUGUACUCUCAUAUUUAUAGUGGAUUGCUCAUCUCCUUUGUGGACGUAGGUCGAUUGACCGAACCACGUUAAAUCUGUCUCUUUUGGUAUAUUUCUCGUUUGUCUUCUUACUCAUGGUCUUUCGAGGUUUGCUUUGCUAGUUUCCGCGUUACACCUGCUUAUUUCGGUCCUAACAAGAGUCCCGGCUUCAUGAGUAACUACAUUGAUAACUUCAUUCGAGACUUGCAUGGGCUUCUACUUGAAAAGACCUAGAUAAUUAGCAGGGUGGAUCUAAUGUUGAAGUUACGGGGUUUGCAUAAUUCAGUGCAUUUUUGUUAAAAAAAUUUACUUAAUAUGUAUGAAUAAUUCAUCCCCAACCAAUUGUUGUCAUGUUUUAAAAUUUAGAAUUUAUAAACUCAAAAACCAUGUAUCUAGUAAAGUAACUUGCAUUUAUCGGAUGUUUCAUGUCGUGUAUAGGAGUUAUACACCUUUCCCUCGAAUUUAGACUUUUCUUUUUUUUAAAAAGGAAAAAAGAACUUUUUUUACCUCUAUAUACACUUCUGAGUUCUGAACACUCAAAGAAAUGUACAAAUUUAGAUCUAAAAUUAAGUUUGGUAUAUUUUUAACUAUGAAAAAGGAUAAAAAAUAUCUCUUAUCAUAUAAAAAAUACUCAACCGUGGAAUGCGAAGCAGCUUGUUAUUGUUGUUAUAGAAGAAGAAGAAGCAGCAGCAGCAAAACUGGCAGUUUCAACAACUUCUCCAUUAUUUCUAAAUGACAUAAACUGAAAAAGUAGACAUACGCAUCCUGCGGCAUAAGACACGUAGGGUGCCACAUAGGACACAAAAUUGUCACGUAGGAUGCCAUGUAGGAUGAAUGUGUCUAUUUAUUCGACAUGUAAAACCAGAACAGGGAAAGAUUUUGUUCACAAACAUCUAAAGUUGGUAAAGUUAAGAAAAAUUAUUUUCAGUAAAAUAAAAUAAAAUAGAGAGAAGAUAUAUAGAUGAAAGUGAGGAAUAUUUAUAAAGGAUAGUGAUUUAUCCAUCUUUUGAACAUAACAAAACAUUCUUCAGGUGUGUCUGUGUCCUGAUCCCUGUUAAAGAAAAAUAAAUAAAUGCAAAGUUAAAUACAAAUAUAAAAUAAAAAUAAAGCUCUUUAAAUAUAACUCAAUCUGACUAAAUUGAUAUAGAUUAAUUAUUUCUUAAUUUUCAUGUAACUUAUUUCUACAAUUAAUUUCAUACCUUCACGGUUGCAUAAGUCAUUUUGUUGGAGUAAGAUCUCGUAUAACUACAAUGAUACGAUAUUAGAAAAAUGAUUCACAGCAAGAAAGAAUUGAAUUAGCCUCGGAGAACUGAACUGCCUUGAUCUGAAUCUCUGGAACUCACAGAAGACCAAGGCAAGUCCACUCUCAAUUCAGCAUAAGCUUGGGAUCUUUCUUUCCUAAAGCAUUUCCCUUGAAGCCAGGUCUUUCUUCUCUUCUUUAAAGCCUGGAGCUGGACUUCUUUUUCCUGACUCGAUUCACUGUUUAAUCACACUAAGUCAGAGCCCAACCAGGGUGAGAGAGAUAGGAGAGUAGGGAUGGGGAACCAAUGUCACCAACAACACUAGCAGUCUCGGAUCUUUGAAUAGACAGAGAGAGAUGCUCUUCCUGCGGCCCAAGAGCGUAUUCGUUCAAAGAGAUGGCAAUGACUUUCUUCCCACCCGGGAAUCGUAGUAAGCCGGGAGAAAGACAUUCAUAUAUUCCCCAGGCACGGGAUAAAGGGAAAGAGAGAGCCGAGAGCCGGGAACGCAAUAAAAAGAAUUUCCCUCUCCCUGUAGGUCGAGCUGAAUUACAUCCACCCUCUCACUUCGUUCGAGCUUCCUUUUCAGCCCUCUCACGGGAAUCUUUUAAUUAGAAUACGUACGAGACUACCAAAGCAAAUUAACUUCUUUCCCCGGAGCAACAACUGAAAGAGAAAAUACCGGUUUAUUCAUCUGCACCGGAAAAGAGCUAAGUAUUAUCAACUAACUUAAUGAUUAGUUUUAAUUGAAAAUUCAUAAUUGUAAUUAAGGAUGUUAAAUUUAGAGAUUAAUCACCCAACAAGUUGAUUUUUACUGCUAGGCUGAUGGAACAACACCUUAAGGUUGGUGUAGAAGGAUGAAAAUGAUUUGUUUACAAAAAUGUGUUAUGGAUAAAGAUAGCCAAAUCGGUUGUCUUGUGAAAGAGAAUCAUAGAAAAUGGAAGGAACUUCUUUCGAGUCUUGGCUUCAUGAAUAAUACAUUGAUAACUUCAUUAAAGAAUUGCAUGGGCUUCUAGUUGAAAAGACCUAGAUGAUUAGCAGGGGUGGAUCUUAGGUUGAAGUUACGGGGUUUGCAGAAUCUAGUGUAUUUGUGCAUUUUUGUUAAGAAAUUUACUUAAUAUGUAUGAAUAAUUCAUCCCCAACCAAGUGUUGUCAUGUUUUAAAAUUCAGAAUUUAUAAACUCAAAAACCAUGUAUCUAGUAAAGUAACUUGCAUUUAUCGGAUGUUUUCAUGUCGUGUAUAGGAGUUAUACACCUUUCCCUCGAAUAUAGACCUCUUUUUUAAAAAAAGGAAAAAGAACUUUUUUUACCUCUGUAUACACUUCUGAGUUCUGAACACUCAAAGAAAUGUACAAGUUUAGAUCUAAAAUUAAGUUUGGUAUAUUUUAACUAUGGAAAAGGAUAAAAAAUAUCUCUUAUCAUAUCAAAAAUAUUCAACCGUGGAAUGCGAAGCAGCUUGUUAUUGUUAUUAUAGAAGAAGAAGAAGAAGCAGCAGCAAAAUUGGCAGUUUCAACAACUUCUUCAUUAUUUCUAAAUGACAUAAUACAUAAAUGUGUCUUUUUACUUGGUUUUAACUGAUACUAGUGAAUAUGUUCGCGCUUCACGCGAUGAGAAAAAAUAAUUAAAAAUAUUUAAAUAAAUCAUUUCUUAUAUUUGAAAAUCAAAAAUAUUUUAAGAAUCAUUUCUAAUUUUCAAAUUCAAAUAGAUUUAAGUUUUAAGUUCUAGUUAUUAUUAAAUAUAAUUUAAGCAAUGUAAUAAUAACUGUUAAAAUAAUUCAAUAUAGUGUGAAUUUUUUUACUAUUGAUUAGAAUCGUAAUUUAAAAUAAUAAAUAUUUUCUUUUAAUUGAAUCAUAAUCGUUUUGCUGAAUUGUUGAUGUACUUGAAAAAAAUGGAUCAUACAGUAUUAAAUAUAUUAUAUGAUGUGUUUGAUUUUUUGAACAAAAUGAAAAGAACACAAAUGGUUAUCGGGCUAAAGGCUUAUUGUAGCAAAGUCGUAGAAGUAAAUUUUGUAUAAAAAAUAUAACUUUUAAAUAUUUAUCAUACAUAAUAUUCAUCGAAAAUUCAUCUAUUCAGUGUAGAAAAUUGAAAUAAAUUGUAACACAAGAUAAAAGAAAAUUUUUAAAUUUAUAUUGCAAUUAAACACAAACAUUAAUUUUUUUAUUAAUCAUUAUUAAGUACUAUGAUUGAAGAUUGAUAUCUCAAUUUAAUAAAAUAUAAAUAUGGAAGAUAAAAGACUGAUGUAGAACCUCACUUUGAUCAGGAUUAUCAGUUUUCUUCUUCUUCUUUUUUUGAAAAUUUUUACUAUCUUUUGAUUUAUAAAAUCUGCAAAAAAAAUAUAUAUAUUUUAUUUAUUUCUCUCCUCACUAUUAUUACAAUUUAUUAAAUAGUAAAUAUUUUUCACCUCUCCUCAUCAUACAACUUCUACAGUUUACUUUUUUCCACCUUCUAUUUUUAUAGUUUUUUAAAAUAAAAAUUCUUGUUGAUCUCUCAUCAUUAUUAUCAUAAUUAAUUUUUCUUAUUCAAAAAAUUCUCUUUUUCGUUAAUUGUUUUCUUUCCUUUGAUUUAUAAUUUCUUUUUUAAAAAAUAGAUCUUAAAUAUUUUAUUUAUCUUUCUCUGCACUAUUGGUACAAUUUAUUAUAAUUACUUUUUUGUUUUUUCUCGUUGUUGCUAUAAAACAUUCUUUUUAAUUGCCCUUUUGUUGUCUAAAGAAAAUCUUAUUUAUUUCUUCUCCUUAUUAUCACUAUUAUUAAUUUAUUAUUAUUAUUAUUUAAAUAAAUACUUUUCUUUUCUUUUAAUUUUUUCUCUUGAUAUAUAUAUAUAUUGACCAAGAAUUUAAAUUAUCCCCUUUCUCCUUUCUUGACUUUAAAAUGUUUUUUUCUUAUUUAUAUUUAUGUUUUAAAACUCAAAAGAAGUUAUAAAUAGUAUCUUAAUUAGUACUAACUGUUUAACAUAUUUAUAGUACACACCUUUAUAUUAUGAUUAUGAUAAAUAUAUUUACCUUAUUUAUAUAUCUUCUUACAUUACUAUAAUUUAUUUUUUUUCAUCUCUCCUCAUUAUUACUAUAAUUUAUUAUUAUUUUAAAAUUCAUUUUUUACCUUCUAUUUUUAUAUUUAAAAUGAAAAUUUUAUGAUCUCUCCUCGUUAUCAUCGUAAUUUAUUCUUAUUAUUAUUCACAAUAUUUUUCUUCUAUACAAUUAUUUAUCUUUUAAUCUAAAAAAUUAGUUAAAAAUUAAAAAAAUCAAAUAUUUUAUUUAUCUCUCUCCUCACAUUAUUACAAUUUAUUACUUUUUAUUUCUACCUUUUAUUUUAAAAGUUUCCCAAGAUUUUUUUUUUAUUCAUCUCUCUUUCUUAUUAUCAUAAUUUAACAUUGUUUAUGAAAUUUCUGUUCUUUCUUAAUUUUUUUUAUCUAUAAAAUUUAUAUGAAAAAUAUUUCUUUGAUCAAGAAUUAUAAUUAUUUUUUUCUCUCCUAUUCUUGAUUUUUAAUUUUUUAUUUAUUUAUGUGCUAUGUUAAUAAAAAUCAAAAUAUUCUUUGAAUAAAUAGUUUAUAUAUUUUUAUAAUUUUUUUUAUUUUAAUGUUAAAUAAAAAGUAGAAAGAGAAUGAUGUAAUUAGUAAAACAAAAUAAAACAAAGAGUAAUGUAUAACUCUCUUUCAUUUUUUUGUGUUUUCUUUUAUGGUAGUAUUUUUAAUUAUUAUUUUUUCCUUUUUUUUUCUUUUCCUUCCUUUUACUUUUUACUCAAUUUCAUUCCUUGCCUUCUCAUUCUUUUUCAAACUAUCAUAUUAUUCUUUUUUAUCAGAAAAGAGAAUUAAUUUUUUUUUAUAACUUUCCAUAUUAUUUCAAUACCUUAUAGAUAAAUAAAUUAAAAACAAAAAAAAGUAAAAAAAAAAUAGUGAUUUAAGGAAAUGAUAUAAAUUGAGAGUAAUGAUCAAAUUAAGGUUAGGAUGUAAAAUAUGAUUGAUGAUGAAUGAAAUUAAAUAUGGUCACUUUGAUAUUCAAUAAAAUUUGAAAGUGAAAUUUUCAGUCUUUUAGAAUUUUAAAAAAUAAUAUAAAAUUUAAAAACAAAAAAACUACAAAAAUAUAAAUUUCAGGCCUAAAAAAAAUAUCACGUCAUAUAUAUAUAUGGUUUAAAGAAAUAAACUUUAACUAAAGAUAUAUAAAAGAAAAUUAAAAAAAUUCAAUUGAAAAUAUAUAAAAAAUAAUAAAACAAACUUUAAUUAAAGAUAAGUAAGGAAAAAUUAAACAAAAAACGUUUUUAAGGGAGGGGGAAUAAAAAAAAGUUUUUAAGAGAAGAAAAAGGAAUUAGAAUAUACAUUUCUCCUUAUUCCUUCCUAAUUUAAUAAGAAUUCCAUAAAUAAAUUGAUUCUCUCUCUAAAUAAUUCUUGUUGCCCUUGAACCACGUAUCAUUCUUUUUAUAAGUUUCUCAAUUAAAAUAAUUUUUUUCUUCUCAAUAUAUAUUUUCUUUUAGAAGGAAUUAUAGUGCAAAAUUCUUUCAAAAGUAUGAUUAUUAUAUGAUUUUUCUUCUUAGAUCAAUAUCUUUGAAACAAUCUUGAGAUACGGCCUCUUUCUCUUUUCAUGAUGAGAUAACAUUCCAUCAUCAUUACAAAAAAAGACAAAGAGCGAAUUUGUUGUUCAUUAUGAGAUCUCUACUAUACAUCUCUAAAUUAACUUUCAGAGAACUUUAAUUUGUCGUUAUUUGUAAAUCAAAUAGAAUAGAAUGAGAGAAUUAAUAUUUCAUGGUGGCAUCAUUUCCACGGUCUACAAGUUGAAUGUUAGAAGACAUUUUUGAUGUUUUUCGAUCUUCAAGUAUAUUGAAUUCUUAUAUAGGAUUUCAUUCUUAUUUUGCUAGAUCCACUUGUUGUAAUUCUUGUUGGCAUAAAAUGGUCAAAUCUACACAGGUAUAUUCUAACGAAUUCAUUCAUACAAACAAAUCAAUUUUUAUUUAUUUAUCUGAGCUAGCAAAACAUCUCUUGCUAUGAGUUCUUGAUUCAUCUCCUGCAUAAUGUUUGUUUACACAAAUAAAGCAAAAAUUCAAUUUACCUGAAGGAGUAAAUCUGCUCUUGCAAUGAUUCUUUCAUUUUGUCAAUUUACCUUCAAAAUAUGUGCUCUCCAGCCUAGUUUUGUUUGUACAAACAAAUCAAAAAUUUGAUCUAUCUAAGGUAGUAAAACUUUUCAAAAUAUUAAUUUACCUGAAGUAGUAAAUCUUCUCUUCCAAUGAUUCUUCCAUGUUGUCAAGUUCCUUACAGAUUAUGUGAUCUCCUACAUAUUUUUUUAUACCUUUUUAAUUGGUUGAUUACAAAACCGUUACAACUGUUCAUUUUCUAUUGCAACAAUAAAUAUAUUCUUUAUGUUAAAACUUUUCAUUAUCCUCUUUAACUGUAGGUUAAUAGAUGCAUUAGAGGUAUUUAGUAGAUUAUUAUAUUAAGAAAUGAAUUUAAAAGAUCAAAAAAUUGAGGAAAAGAUAAAAUGAAAUGGUGGCCAUAGAGAGAUGCCACAUCAGCUUUUCUAUAUUUAGCUUUAUAUAAAUAUAUAGAUUUAUACUCUCCAAUUUUGAGAGUGCACAAGUAUGCACUUAAACUUGUAAAAUACUAAAAAAGUAGACACACGCAUCCUGUGGCAAAAGACACGUAGGGCGCCACAUAGGACACAAAAUUGUUACGUAGGACACCAUGUAGGACGAAUGUGUCUAUUUGUUCAAUUUUGUACAAGUUUAAGUAUCUACUUGUAAAUAUCCAAAGUUAGAGAGUAUAAAUGCCAGUUGAAGCCAAGUUAAAGAGCACAAUUGCCUUCCUAAAUUAGGGGUGUGCAAAAACCGAUUUAACCAAUAAACCGAACCGAAAAAAACACUAUUGGUUUAUUGAUAUUGGGUUAUUGGGCUAACAGUUUUUAAACGGUUUUGCAAAUUUUUUUAUUGGGCUAUUGGUUCGGUUUCCGGUUUUAUAAUUUUUGUUAAUGGUUAAACCGAUAACCCAAUAAGACUAUACUAAAUUUACUAGUCUUAUUGUUAAUGGUUAAACGAUUGUUACUUUCACACUUUUUGUGAAUGUGUCUAGUGUCUAAACUUGCAAGAAAAAUGAUUGUUACUUUUAUGAUUAUUACUCAUGCCAAAUGCUGGAAAAAUCAUAUGGUUUAUUUGAAAAUUUUCUUAUCGUGUAUAUAAUAUAUAUAAGUAUUUUCUUAUUGGUUAAACCGAAAAUCGAACCGUUAAGUACCAUAAACCGAUUAACCAAAAACCGAUAAGAAAUAUGUUAUUGGUUUGGUUAUCGGUCUGAAGUAUUUACAAACCGAAAACCGAUAAACCGAACCAAUAACACCUAAAACCGAACCGAACCGACCGAUGCGCACCCCUAUCCUAAAUUAUUAACAGUCAUUUUACCAACAAAUUAAUACUAUGUAUUGAUGAUAAAUAGUGGUGGCAAAUGGGCGGGUUGAAAAUGGGUAAUAAUUCAACCCGCUCAUAUUUGAUAUGGGUAAAAAUGAAUUGGGUAACAAAUGGGUUGGGUAAAAUACUAGUUUACCCAUAUUUUACCAUAUUUUCAUGAGUAAAUAAUACUCAACUUAAGAAUUCAACAUGUAGAAAAUAUUUUAGUCUUUUUUUAGAUGAAAAAUGUUGAAAAUGCUUCAUUUAGUAUUAUUGUAUCAUAAAAGUAAAAAAAAAUCCUAUAACUUUUCAAUAUAAAAUAAAUUUAUGUAAUAACAGGGGGGACAUAUUUUUAAUUUCAAAAUAAAUGAAUAUUUGCAUUUUAGAACUAAAACAUGCUUAAUGCACUUUAACCAAUGUCAAUACUAGUACAUGAUUUGCUUAUUUUACACUAUUAUUUAUUAUCCAAUAUAAAAUUAAGCAAAUAAAAAAAUAUAUAAUUAUAAUUAACAAAAGAAAUGUACAUUUAAAAAUAUAUAUUUUUUGGAGGGCCAAAAGACUUUCACCUUUUUCAAUUAUAGAGAAAAAUAAUUAGUUUUAUAGAAGAAUAUGAAAAGGAAGAGAAGUUACAAUAUUUUUAGUGAUAUCAUGAAUUUUGAAUGAAUAAAAGUUAGAAGCUUAACCCAUUUGGUUAAUCCAUAUUUUAUCCAUAUUUUUAUGGGUUGAAUAUGAAUAUCAACCCAUAUUUUACUCAUGUAAAAGGUCACUCACCCAACCCAUUAAAAUAUGAACGGAUUGGGCGGGUUACAAAAUAUGUCCUCAUUUUGCUCGCACUAAUGAUAAGGAACCAAUGGAACUCCUUUAAAGUUUUAUGAACAAUUAAAUCCCUUAUAUCCAAAGACAAAAUUGAAUGAGAGGAAGCAUUUCGUCGAAGGCAAAAGAGAAAAAAAGAUGACAGAGUCAAAAAUGGAAAUAGUGAUGUUCCCAUGGCUUGCUUUUGGGCACUUAAUCCCAUAUAUGAAUCUGUCAAAUGAAAUUGCAAAAAGAGGUCACAAAAUCUCAUUCUUGUUGCCCAAAAAUGCUGAAAUUAGACUUCAAAAACUCAAUCAUUAUCCAAAUCUCAUCAAAUUACAUAAACUGACAAUACCUCAUGUUGAUGGCCUUCCAUAUGGAGCAGAGACUACAGCUGAUGUUCCUACAUCAUUGGAGAGUCUAUUAGCAACAGCUUUUGAUGAAUUGUAUGAUGAAAUCAAAUCUUUUCUUCGAAAUGUUAAACCCCAUUUCAUUUUCUUUGAUUUUGCUUAUUGGAUUCCUGAUUUAGCACGAGAAAUUGGGGGUAUCAAGACUCUGUUUUACAGUGUUUUUAGCCCUGCUGCAGCAUCUAUAUCAUUUGUUAAGUCACCAGAUAAGACUACAUUUAUGGCAUCAACCGCAGCUGAGCUAGUAAAGCCACCACCAGAUUACCCUUCUACUACUGUGGUGUUGCGCGAAAGUGAAGCUAAGUUGUUAUCAUUUCUAUUACAUGAAUAUGGAAAGGGGGUGACAUUUUACGAACGUGUGAAGAAGGGGAUGACAGGAUGCGAUGCAAUAGGUAUGAGAACAUGUAGAGAGAUUGAAGGAACCUUUUGUGACUACAUAGCAACACAUUCUGAAAAGUCAGUCCUUUACACAGGACCUGUUCUUUCCGAGCCGAAAAAUGAGCCUUUAGAAGAACACGGAUUAUCAAAUUGGCUCGAAAAAUUCGAGCCGGGUCAGUAGUGUUUUGUGCAUUUGGGAGCCAAAUGAUUCUUGAAAAGAAACAGUUUCAACAACUCGUUUUAGGCUUUGAACUGACUGAAUUACCAUUUCUUUUAGUUGUUAAGCCUCCUCAAGGGACAAAUUCAGCCGAAGAAGCGUUGCCGGAGGGAUUCAAAGAAAGGGUUCAAGAAAAGGGAUUGAUUCUCGAUUGUUGGGUGCCGCAAUGGGAGAUUUUAAGUCACAAAUCAGUUGGUUGUUUUGUGACUCACUGUGGUUAUGGAUCAAUGUGGGAGUCUUUGGCGCUGUGUGAUUGUCAAUUGGUACUUUUGCCAAGACCUUUUGAACACACUUUAAUUGCUAGGCUUAUGGAACAACAACUUAAGGUUGGCGUAGAAGUGUAGAAAGAUGAAAACGAUUUGUUUACAAAAGAGAAUUUGUGCAAGGCUGUGAAAUGUGUUAUGGAUAAAGAUAGCCAAAUUGGUCGUCUUGUGAAAGAGAAUCAUAAGAAAUGGAAGGAACUUCUUUCGAGUCCUGGCUUCAUGAGUAACUACAUCGAUAACUUCAUUCAAGACUUGCAUGAACUUCUAGUUGAAAAGACCUAGAUAAUUAGCAGGGGUGGAUCUAAUAUUGAAGUUACGAGUUAAGUGUAUUGUGUUAAGAAAUUUUGCUUAAUAUGUAUGAAUAAUCCAUCCCAACCGAUUCAGAAUUUAUAAACUCAAAACUGUCUAUCUAGUGAUGUAACUUGCAUUUUUCUAACGUUUUCAUGCCGUGUUUAGGAGUUAUACACCUUCCUUUCAAAUUUAGAGUUUUUAUUUUUAGAUAACAUUUUUACCUCUAAAUGCACUUCUGAACACUCAAAGAAGUGUACAAGUUUAGAUCUAAAGUUAAGUCUGGUAUAUUAUAACUACGGAAAAGGACCAAAAAUAUUCUGUCUACAUUUUUUUAGCAUAGAAGAGUCAAUCCAUUAGCUGCAUUACAAGAUUUUAAUUCCAUCUUUUGCCCCUCUUCCAAAUGACAUGUAAAACCAGAACAGGGAAAGAUUUUGUUCACUAACAUCUAAAGUUGAUAAGGUUAAGAAAAGAUUAUUUUCAGUAAAAUAAAAUAAAAUAGAGAGAAGAUAUAUAGAUGGAAUAGAGGACAAUUUAUAAAGGAUCAUAAUUUAUCCAUCUUUUGAACAUAACAAAACAUUCUUCAGGUUUGUCUGUACAAGCUGUGUCCUGAUCCCUAUUAAAUAAAAAUAAAAAUAAACGUAAAAUUAAAUACAAAUAUAAAAUAUAAAUAAAUCUCUUUAAAUAUAACUCAAUCUGGCUAAAUUGAUAUACAUGAAUUGCUUCUCAAUUUUCAUGUAACUUGUUUCUAAAAUUAAUUUCAUACCUUCACUGUUGCAUAAGUCAUUUUGUUGGAGUAAGAUCUCGUAUAGCUACAAUGAUACGAUAUUUGAAAAAUGAUUAAGUAUUAUCAACUCACAUAAUAAUUAGUUUUAAUUAAGAAUUCAUAAUUGUAAUUAAGGAUGUAAAAUUUGGAGAUUAAUUACCCAGCAACUUGAUUGUUUAUGUUCCUAUUGACGCCAAUCAUCAUCAAUAGAGUAGUUUAGAGACUUUAUCCAUGUUUGUGUAUCUUGAAAAGGUACCAUAUAAUCAUGAUCUCCACUGUUAAAUUAAACAUAAAAAGGAAAAACUUCCAUUAUAUAUAUUCAUGAAAUAAGUUGUUUCACUAUAAACUAAUAUACCAAUUAUCUUUAAAUAUAAAAACUGAAGAGUAAUUGGGAACCUGGAUUUAAAAGAUCAUUAAUAAUAUAAUAGUUUGUGUUUGGUACGAAUAAGUCCUUUGACCUUUUGGCAUUACCAUUGAAAAUAUUUAAUAACAUUCUUUUCAGUUCAAUUUAUUGAUGGGUUUGAUUUUUUAUACACUUUUAAAUUCGGAUAUCAUGCGAGUUAGAAUUAUAAUCAUUAGUUGAUAAUAACGGUAAUCUAAAGCUAAAUAUAUAAAGUUAAAACAGACACAAACAUAACAAUGAAUAUUAAUUACCUGUAUAUAAGUGAUCAAUAGCCUUUAGUGUUUAGAUUUGCAUGAUAUGGUACAACAUUAUGUACCGUCAAAGUGUAGUUGUGAUGAGAGCCUUCACUUAUAUCUCUUCUACAUGUUAUCCAGCUUUCUAUAAUUCCCUGCAAAGAGUAAAAUCACAAGUAAAAUUAUCAUUUUAUUUAGAAAAACAAUUCUAAUUAGAUAAACACUCCUAUAUUUGUCUUUAUUUUUUUUGUAAGUAUGUAAUUAUGACGUAAUUACACCAAAAACAUGUAUUUGAAUAAUUAUAUUUUCGUCUUUAUUUUUUUAAGUAUGCAAUUAAGGCGUAAUUACACCAAAUACUUAUAUCUGGAUGACUUUAUCUUCGUCUGCAUUUUUUUCUAAGUAUGUUAUCUAUGCAUAGAUAUUCUGGAUACAUCACAAAAUUGGUAUCAGAUAGAUGUAUUUAUGCACAGAUAUACUAGUAUCAUCACAAAUACAUUGAAAACAUCAAUACAUUUUUAUACUAAAUAUACUAGAUAAAUUUGAUAUACACAGAUACAUUGAAUACAUCAAUGCAUAUUAAAUACUGAAUAUAUGAAUACAUGAAAGUGUGAUAUAUAAAUACAUUAUGAAACAUAAAUACAAGAAACUAGAGGGAUGAAAGAGGCGGACGAUAGAGGAGAGAGAUGAGAUACAUUUACUAGAUACAGUGUAUCUAGAGACAACUCAAACAAGAUUCAUAAUAAUUGAAUGCAUUAAGUAAUUAGCACCUAUAUUGGUGUACUUUAUGAAAGUUUAUUUUUUAUUUAUUGAUUCUUACGAGGUGUAUCAAGUCAAUAUUAUAAGUAGUAUAUAUAUAUAUAUACACACACUUGUAAUCCACAUACCUUCCGAACAUGAAGAGCUUCUUGGACUUCAUGGUCAUUAGCCCAAUACCUCAUAGGCUUGCGCCAAUCAGACUGAAGUAAUUGAGAAAAAGUUUUUACGGUUAGUAGUAUCUUAUUUAUUCAUUUAAGUUAAAUACAGAGACAAUAAAUAUAAUAAUUUAUAUAUAUAGCCUAGGCCAUUAUCAAUCAUUUUCUUCACUUCUAUUUGUCGUAUUCUUUUUUUUUCAAAAUUUUUAGGAUAUAAUUUCUCAAUGGAUGAGGGUAGUUUUUUUUUAAUGUCAUUCAAUUUUUUUUUAACCAAAAGUCAAUUAAUUAAUUAUAGUAUAAAACAAAAUUGAGCAACUUUCUAAAAGAAUUCUCCGAAGUUAAGUGAUCAUCUAAGAUAUUUUUUUAGUGAUCAUCUAAGAUAUUAUCAUUUUUUCCUCUUUUUUUGUUUAGAAAUAUCUUUUAUUAUUAUUGAACAUUGUUAGUUGGGCAUCUAUUUCUCAUAUGUCGUUUCAUAUCGAGAAAAUUAGGAAUGUAUACCGUCAUUAACUACAACAAUAGAAUAGACUCCUAUGCUGAGAGUAUAUGGGUAUAGAGUCUAGCUAACCACCUCAACUUCCAUUCUGACAUGCUAUAAAUAUUAAAGUCACUUGACGGCAAAAAUAUGAGGUAUAAAAAAACUAAAAAAAAACUUACAUCACACUUAUCUUCACGUUGCAAGGAGAUGAGUUUAUCAUCAAGUAAUCUUCUUUCACUAGUCAUUUGAUACAUGUCUUUAGGAUCAUCAUCAUUUGUGCAAAAGGGUUUUAAUACGUGUUCCACAUUAAUGUUUCUUAUCAUCUGCAUAAUUAUAUUUUAAUUUAAUCACAUAAAAAUAAUUAAUAAUAUAUUAUCACACGUUAAACUAUAUCGAUUGAUAGUACUGUAAAACAAUACUUAUAACCUGUUUGAAAUUUCGAAAGUCAUUUGCACAUCCUGUAUUGUUGGGAUGUAUGUUUGUGUAUUCUCCUCUACAAUUCUUCUCUAAUGACUGUUAAGACAAAUUAAUAUUCAAAUUAACUUGAUAUGUCAAAUUCUAAAGUUAAUUAUAUAUAUUUUAGAAUAAUGUGGAAAGUAAUUAAAACAAAUUAAUUACUCUGUCCAUUCGCUAUUCUAUAAAAUCUUAUUUUGACAAAUAAAUCUCAACAAACAAAUUUUAAAAAAAGAUGGAGAAAAAAAUAAAAAAUAAUCUUGAAAUUUGAAUCUUUAACAAUUUUUUAUAAUUUUUUUAGCUCAAUUGGUGAAAAAAUUUGGUUCCAAAAAUAAACUCAAAAAUUUAAAUAGUCAUCCAAAUGCAUUUUAAUUUUUGAAAUCUAGCAUAUUCAUCAUUUAUUGAAAAGUUGACUUAAGAAAACAUUAAAUAACACUAAAAGGGUAAAGUUACUUAAUUUCUUAAUGCAAGUGCAAUCUAAAAAGAUGACAUAUAAAAAAGAACGGAGGGAGUAUAUACCUUUUGUUUUGGUCCGUAAGUUUUCUUUCUUCACUUUUUUUUUUUUUUUUUGGAAUUCAAAUUAUGUAAGUAUCUCAAAAUGUAUAUUUAUCAUCUAAAAAUAAGAAGAAAUUGUAACUUAUCGUAUAAUUUUGAGUAACUAUAUGUUAAUUGGGAAACAUUCAUGAAUUAAUUUAAUCCAAAUCUAACUAUAAAGAUUGAUCAAAUUUAACUUUUAAAAAGCAAAAACUAUAUCAUAAAUUAAAAUAUGACAUAAAAUAUAAUUUAAUUUUUAGUUUUUAAAGUUCAUACAAAAUUUAAAUAAAAUAAUCAAAUAAUAUAAAAUAAAGAGAGUACUAGAUUGUUUUAUUUGUUGCACAUAUUUUUCUCUACGUGGAUAAAAUAUAACCACACUACUUUAGUUUGAUAUUUUAGGUAUCCUCGGGUCCCGCAGGAGUAAUUAGUAAUUUUGCUGAAUUAAUGCAAGCUGGUUAGAUGUGUGAAAUAGAGGACUCGUACGUAUUUGUUAUUAUUGCUACAAUAAAGAGAUUAAAGUUUUGACAAAGACUAAACAACUAUCGAUCUGCCAUUAAUAGAGAAAUAAGAUAGCUAGCAAGAGAAGUAGAGAGAUAGAUUAUAGAUAUCUUCUGGAUCUGCCCAAGACUUUAGCAAUGGGUUUAAUAUAUUUGAGUUAAGAUAGAUAAAAGGUUGGACAUGAGUUUUAAUUUGGGAAUGACUCGUUUUUAAGAAAAAGGGGUACUUUGGGCUGAUUUGAGGCUUUUCGUCAAAUUACAGAUAUGAGCGACAAGUUUGUAAAUGGAGGGAUUUAAAUGACCACAUAGUAUAACUGAGGAUAAAACUAUCAAAGUUGUGGAAUAUGUUUUUAUUUGAACAUUCAAUUUGAAUUUUUUAAAGUGCAAAUCCUAAUACAAAUUAAAUGUGAAAUACAGUCUAAAGCUUUUACAAAUGAUUCAUUUAAUUCUGGUCCCAAAUGUAGUCUAUUCACUGUCUCCAAAUUAAUUACUCCCUCCGUUCCUUUUUAUAUGUCAUCCAUUUCUAUAAAUAGUUAGUUCAUAAUACUUGUCAUUUCAUAAAAUUAAUGCAUAAAUUAUCAUAUUCCUCCUAUUAUACCCUUGAUAGAGUAGUUAAUUAGUCUUGAAAAUAUAUACUUUGACCAACCUAGGAAAACUAAUAAGUAAUUAAUAUUCAUGGGAGUACUUCAUACAUUGAUUAAUUACUCUCUCCAUUUACUAUUCUAUAAAAUUUUAUUUUGACAAAGAAAUCUCAACAAACAAAUUAAAAAUAAAAGAUUGAGAAAAAAUAAAAAAUAAUCUUGAAAUUUGAAUCUUUAACAAAUUUUUAGCUCAAUUGGUGAAAAAAUUUGGCUCCAAAAAUAAACUCAAAAAUUUAAAUAUUCAUCCAAAUGCAUUUUCAUUUUUGAAAUCUAGCAUAUUCAUCAUUUAUUAUAGGGGUGUACAAAAUCGAACCGAAAACCGAACCAAAUCGCAAACCGAGUCAAACCGGAAAUAAACCCGACUAGUGGUUUGGUUUGACUUGGUUUGGUAUUGGAAAAAAAAAACUCGAUUAUAUUUGGGUUUGUUUGGUUUCAACUAAAAAAAAUCAACCCGAGACCAAACUAACCCAACAAUAUAUAAAUAAUUUUAAAAUUUUAUUUUAUACGUAAAAAUAUUUACUUUGAUAUAAUUUUUAAAUAUUUCUUCUACUUUUUCAUAGUUUUUAUCUUUUAAUAUAUUAUUUCAUGAUUGAAAGAUAGAAUUCUUAAUGACCCAAUAAAAAUUAUAGUCCAUAGAUAUUGGUAAUUAUAAUAAAGCUUAAAUCAAAAUCAAAUUAAUACUAAUGCAAAAAGAAAAUCAAUUCAACACUAAGAAUGAAAAUAAUAUUGAAUAUUUGUUCUUUGGUUUUACAUUGGUUUAGACAAUUNNNNNNNNNNNNNNNNNNNNNNNNNNNNNNNNNNNNNNNNNNNNNNNNNNNNNNNNNNNNNNNNNNNNNNNNNNNNNNNNNNNNNNNNNNNNNNNNNNNNNNNNNNNNNNNNNNNNNNNNNNNNNNNNNNNNNNNNNNNNNNNNNNNNNNNNNNNNNNNNNNNNNNNNNNNNNNNNNNNNNNNNNNNNNNNNNNNNNNNNNNNNNNNNNNNNNNNNNNNNNNNNNNNNNNNNNNNNNNNNNNNNNNNNNNNNNNNNNNNNNNNNNNNNNNNNNNNNNNNNNNNNNNNNNNNNNAUUAUUAUUAUUAUUUGGAUAUUUUAGUGUCAUUAAUCAUAUCAUAUUGUGUUAUAUUUUUAAGAAACAUCUUAGAUAGUUGUAUUUUAAUAGGACUAAAAAAAUAUUUGAAGUAUAAGUAAAUUAUACGUUUGUACGAAUACUUUACCGAAAAAAUCCAAAAAAAUCCGAGGUUGAAAAACCCGACUUUUAUUGGUUUGGUUUAUAAAUUCAAAAAUCCGACACAAAUGGUUUGGUUUGAUAUUUGAAAAACCCGAACCAACCCGACCAUGUACACCCCUAAUUUAUUAAAAAGUUGACUUAAGAAAACAUUAAAUAAGGGCAGAAGGGUAAAGUUACUUAAUUUCCUAAUGCAAGUGCAAUCUAAAAAAAUGACAUAUAAAAAGAUACGGAGGGAGUAUAUACCUUUUCUUUUGGUCCGUAAGUUUUCUUUCUUCACUUUUUUGUUUUUUGGAAUUCAAAUUGUGUAAAUAUCUCAAAAUGUAUAUUUUAUCAUCUAAAAAUAAGAAAUUGUAACUUAUCGUAUAAAUUUGAAUAACUAUAUGUUAAUUUGGAAACAUUCAUGAAUUAAUUUAAUCAAAUCUAACUUUAAAGAUUGAUCAAAUUUAACUUUUUAAAAAGCAAAAACUAUAUCAUAAAUUAAAAUAUUACAUACAAUUUAAUUUAAUUUAAUUUUUACUUUUUUAAAGUUCAUACAAAAAUUUAAAUAAAAUAAUCAAAUAAUAUAAAAUGAAGAGAGUACUGGAUUGUUUUAUUUGUUGCACAUAUUUUUCUCUACGUGGAUAAAAUAUAACCACACUACUUUAGUUUAAUAUUUUAGGUAUCCUCGGGUCCCGCAGGUGUAAUUAGUAAUUUUGCCGAAUUAAUGGGUCAUGCAAGCUAGUAAGAUGUGUGAAAUAGAGGACUCAUACACAUUUGUUAUUGUUGCUAUAAUCAAGAGAUUAAACUCUCGAAAAAGACUAAACAACUACCGAUAUGCCAUUAAUAGCGAGAUAAGAAAAAAUAUUUGAGAAAUAAACUUAAUUCUAAAAGAGAAAUGAAUUCACUAUCAAGAUAACUGGCAAGAGAAGUAGAGAGAUAGAUUAUAGAUAUCUUCUGGAUCUGCCCAAGACUUUAGCAAUGGGUUCAAUUUAUUUGGGUUAAGAUAGAUAAAAGGUCGGACAUGACUUUCAAUUUGGGAAUGACUCGUUUUUAAGAAAAACAGGUAAUUUGGGCUGAUUUGAGGCUUUUCCUCAAAUUAGAGAUAUGAGUGACAAGUUUGUAAAUGGAGGGAUUUAAAUGGUCACAUAGUAUAACGGAGGAUAAAACUAGCAAAGUUGUGGAAUAUCUUUGACCCUUCUCCUAUUAAAAUUAGCAAAAAUUAUCUAAAUACACAAUUUAUUUUAUCAUGUUCUCUAAAAUUUCCUAUCAUUUGUAAAAGUUACAAAAAUCUUUACUCUCUCCUAUUCUCGCAUACAUCGCUUUACGCGAUUUAUCGGUCAGAUACAUAUAUCACUUUACAUGAUGUAUCGGUCAGAUACAUCACUUGUGCUAUGUAUCAAGACGUUGAGUGAUGUAUUCGAAACUGAAACGCGAUGUAUCGGAAUAUUGAGGAUGUAUAAGCUGGGACACGAUGUAUCAUGGCGUUUUGGGAUGUAUUUGGAUUCCACCAAAUUUAAUUUUUUGUAAAUUCAAAAUAAGAGUAGGAAUAAGAUGUAAUUAGUUGUUAACAUAUUGAGAUUCGUGUAAAAUUCCUUUAAAAUUAUGCUAUAUUUGAUUGAAGUUUAUGAAUAUAUCUCAAACUCCAGUAGGAUAAAUUGAAAGCAAUUCAUCAAAGGCAAAGCAGGAAAAAAAGGAUUACACAUUCUACAGAAGAGUCAAAGCUGAAAAUAGUGAUGUUCCAAUGGCUUGCUUUUGGGCACUUGAUCCCAUAUAUACCUUUAAAAUACACUAUUAAAUAAUACAGGGGUAAAAGGUCCUCUAUAAAGUUUGAUAUUGUAACAACAAUUUCGGCCAAAAUUGAAGUAUUUUUCAGACCAUUUUCCCAAUUUAGAUUUAUUAUUUUGAUGGUCAAAUAUAUUUAAGUUUCGCUAAUAUUCUUGUAAAAUUCAUUAUAGAUGACCCAAUUUUUUCUUCAAAUACAAAAACUAAAUUAUAAUAUAUCCGAAAAAAAUAGUUUUAAAUUUUUUUCUUUACACUAAGGAAUGAAAGAAAAAAAAUAAAAUAAGAAUAAGAAACUCAAAUAAUGAUAAUCAAGAAGUCAAAAAAUAAUUUAUGUCCGAAAAAAAUUAUAACAUACCUUGAAAUUUGCUAGAAAAAUCAUAUAUCCCCCUAAAUGAUUUUUAAAAAAAAUCAAAAGUAAAAAAUAUAAAUUUAAAACUAUUUUUUUUCACUUCUGUUAAAUGAAGGGUAUAUGUGAGCCGUUUGUAUAACGGUAAGGGUAUAUAUGAGUCAUUUUCAUAACGAGGGGCAUAUCAGCUCCAAAUGGAAAAGUUGAGGGGUAUAUCGGACCCUUUUCCCUAGGUAGAUAUUAUUUAGUAGUAAAAGACUAUUUUACCCUUGUCCUCCUCCUCCUCAUGUUUCUAUAUAGUAGAAAUAAUAUACUCCCUCCGUUUUACAAAGAAUGACCUCAUUUCUUUUUUAGUCAAUUUAAAAAAAAAUGAUCUUUUUCUUUUUUUGGUAAUAUUUUAAUUUUAGCUUUCCAUGUGGCAUGUUUAAGGCCACAAGAUUAAAGGGAAAUUUUGUACAUUUGACAUAACUUUAAUUUAGGACCACAAAUUCAAAAGUCUUCUUUAUUUUUCUUAAACUUCGUGCCAAGUCAAAUUAGAUCAUUCUUUGUGAAACGGAGGGAGUAAUAGAUAGUAAGAUUGAAAUGAUAUAUAAAAAAAAGGGCUCACAUGCAUUACACAUGUUUAGAGGCUAUUAGUGAGAAAACAAGGUAAGGCCAAGUACAUAGUACAAUUUGUAUUGCUCAUUGUACAACUUUUCAUAGCCAUGGCCGUCCUUCCAUGGCUGUUCUAUAUAAUAUAAUAAAAGGCCAAACACAUAUAUAACCCUUCUAACUUGCCCUCAUUUUUCAUUUUGACACUCCAACUUAGCCUUGUUCCAUUUUAAUACUUAAACUCCAUUUUUUAUAUACCAUUUUAACACGAAAUACUAUUUUUAUGAUUUCUUUAUUUUUAUAUAUAUUCUUCAAUUGCAACUUCUUAUUUUAAAUCGACAUGUGUCAGUUAAUUUUAGUUUAAAAAAAUAAAAAUUAACAAAAAGUAAUUCUUUUUAAAAAAUAAUAAUUUCUUUUUAAGAGUUUUAUGUAUUUUUAUGUGAAAAAUAACCGAGUAUUUUUGUGUGAAAAAUAACUGACGAAAUUGUGUUUGUUUUCUUUCUUUAAAAUCACCGACAACCUAACAAAGUCAGUCGAGUUUUAACAUUGUUUAGUAGUGUUAUUAGCAAUGAACAAGAGUCUUUUUUACUCGUAUUGAAGAUGAGUUUUCUUAUUCGUAUUGAUUUAUAUUAAAAAUUAAAAGUGAGUAUUUGCGUUAAAUUUAGAUAGCCUAGAUGAUAAGAAAAAAUAAAUAAGUAGUGUUAUUUAAUUUAAUUGAAUGUUUAAGAAAGAAAAUCAAAGAACUUUCGUCAAUUUACUUUCAUGCAAAAAUACAGAGAAAUCUCAAAAAAUAAUAUUAUUGUUUGAAAUUUUUUAUGUUCGUUCGCGAAUGUUCAAUUUUUUUAUGAAAAUUAACAAAUACACGUCUAUUUUUUUAAAAUAAAAAAUUGCAAUUGAAGAACAUAAAUAAAUAAAAAAAUCAUGAAAAUUAGUAUUAUUGUUUAAAUGGUACAGAAAAAAUGGAGGUUAAGGGUUAAAAUGGAACAAGGCUAAGUUGGAGUGCCAAAAUGAAAAAUGAGGACAAGUUUGAGGGGUUGUGUAAGGAACCUUUCUGAACCAGUGGGUCCCACUCAGGGAUAACAUAUUGAUGGAUCUUUCGAGAUGAAAUAUGAAAUUAGAUUGUUAUAAAAUCGGAAUUUUACAUCAAAAUUAGAUUGGAAAAUAUCUAUCUAAUAAUUUGAGAUAGGAGAAAAAAAAGAUGACAGAGUUCAUACAAGAGUCAAAAAUGGAAAUAGUGAUGUUCCCAUGGCUUGCAUUUGAGCACUUUAAAGGGUCGUAGAUGGCUUAAGCCUAAAUACCCCCAAUUAUCCGCGGCCCCAUGCCCCCAAUUAUUUAAAAGUGAACUUAAAAAAAAAAAAUCAAUACCAGAAUUCAAUUACUCUCAAGGAGCAUAUCAUAUCCUCUUUGGGAUCAAUUUAACAUCUCAAAGGAGAAAAAAAAAGAUGAUAGAGUCCAUAGAAGAGUCAAAGAUGAAUAUAAUGAUGUUCCCAUGGCUUGGUUUUGGACACUUGGUCCCAUAUAUGACUCUGUCAAAUGAACUUGCAAAAAGAGGUCACAAAAUCUCAUUCUUGUUGCCCAAAAAUGCUGAAAUUAGACUUCAAAAACUCAAUCUUUAUCCAAAUCUCAUCAAAUUUCAUAAACUGACAAUACCUCAUGUUGAUGGCCUUCCAUAUGGAGCAAAGACUACAGCUGAUGUUCCUGAAUCCUUGGAGAGUCUAUUAGCAACAACUUUUGAUGAAUUGUAUGGUGAAAUCAAAUCUUUUCUUCAAAAUCUAAAACCCCAUUUUGUUUCUUUGAUUUUGCUUAUUGGAUUCCUGAUUUAGCACAAGAAAUUGGAGGUAUCAAGACUCUGUUUUACACUAUUUUUAGCCUGGCUGAAUUGUCUGUAUCACCGGAUAAGGCUACUUUUAUGGCAUCAACUGCAGCUGAUCUAGUAAAGCCACCACCAGAUUACCCUUCUACUACUGUGGUGUUGCGCGAAAGUGAAGCUAAGUUGUUAUCAUUUCUGUUUCAUGAAUAUGGAAAGGGGGUGACAUUUUACGAACGGGUGAAGAAGGGGAUGACAGGAUGCGAUGCAAUAGGUAUGAGAACAUGUAGAGAAAUUGAAGGAACCUUUUGUGACUACAUAGCAACACAUUCUGAAAAGCCCGUCCUUUACACAGGACCUGUCUUUCCAAGCCGAAAAAUGAGCCUUUAGAAGAACACGGAUUAUCAAAUUGGCUCGAGAAAUUCGAGCCAGGAUCAGUAGUGUUCUGUGCAUUUGGGAGCCAAAUGAUUCUUGAAAAGAAACAGUUUCAAGAACUCGUUUUAUGGUUUGAACUGACUGAAUUACCAUUUCUAUUAGUUGUUAAGCCACUCAAGGGACAAAUUCAAUAGAAGAAGCGUUGCCGGAGGGAUUCAAAGAAAGGGUUCAAGAAAAGGGAUUGAUUCUUGAUUGUUGGGUGCCACAAUUGGAGAUUUUAAGUCACAAAUCAGUUGGUUGUUUUGUGACUCACUGUGGUUAUGGGUCGAUGUGUGAGUCUAUUGUUGGGUUUAUGAUUAACCUGAAUACAUGAGAUAACAUCUUUGGCGCUGUGUGAUUGUCAAUUGGUACUUUUGCCAAGACCUUUUGAACACACUUUAAUUGCUAGGCUUAUGGAACAACAACUUAAGGUUGGCGACUUGGCGUAGAAGUUGAGAAAGAUGAAAACGAUUUGUUUACGAAAGAGAAUUUUUGCAAGUCUGUGAAAUGUGUGAUGGAUAAAGAUAGCCAAAUUGGUUGUCAUGCGAAAGAAAAUCAUAGGAAAUGGAAGGACCUUAUUUCAAGUACUGGCUUCAUGACUAACUAUAUUGACAACUUUGUUGACAACUUGCAUGCACUUCUUGUUGAAAACACCUAGAUUAGCGGGAAGGUUAAUAGGUAUGAAUAAUUCAUGUACAAUCAAUGGUUAUCUUGUUUUGAAAUUCUGAAUUCAUAAAUUUAAAAUCUUAUAUUUGAAUAAAUAUAUUAUACUAAUAUUUUCAUAAAUAUAAUGAUCAUCUAAUAUUGAUCUUUUUAAUUAAAAGUUCAGUUUAGUCUUUUGAUUACAUCGGAAUUUUAAGUUUUUUUUGUAUCUUGGAUAUUUUAAUGUAGUUAUUUAAGAGUUAUACAGCUUCCUUCAAAUUUAGUGUUAUUUUUUACUACCUCAAGAAAAAUACUAUCCAGAGUUAGUGAUACAUUUGUUAUAUCUUAUAACAUGUAUUGUGUUAGUAAUGCUCCAACCUAGUAUGAUUAAGUUAUUUUCUGAACCACUUAAGUUACUAUGAACUUAGAAAUAUUUUAGACCCCAAGGUAUUGAUAGCAAAAUAUUAGGCGAAUUGAAAUGGUCAAUUAUAUAAAUUAUUCAAAGUUUAAUAGAAUUAUUGUAUUUUUUUUUCAUAUUUACUUUUCAUUUAAUGAGAUUUUUAACUAUUUUACAUUUUCUAUCCUAACAUGAUGAGAUAUAGGCCCUCUAAAAUAUGUGUUGGUGAGAAAUCCAAUGUUUCAGUUCCUUGGAAAUGGACGAUAGAUAAAGAUUUUUAAAAAUGUUAUAAAAACUUUGACUAUAUAGUAUAAUAUGUUAGAUGAUGUGCUAAAUAAUUUAAACUAAUAAAUUUUAUUAGAUAUAUUUAUGUUAUUUGAAUUUUAAGAGCACUAUAUAUUGAUAAUGCAUCUUCACAUAAAAUUCAUGAAUUUACUCAUUUUAUAGGAUACCUACCACUUAGGUUAUCUAAUAAUAAAUGUAUCGUGAGCCAAACUCCCCACUUGACUAUACUUUUCAUCGAUCCGAUAAUCGUUUGUGAUGAAUUCUCAUAAAGCAUGUAGAUAAACUUCACUCUAUACAUUUUACAAAUAGCAGAAGAAAAAAUUGUCAUAACUAAAGCAAAUAUUAUUAAUAAUUUUUUUAAAAUAAUAACAUAAUAUCUUAUGUAUUCAAUAUUCAAUAGCAUGAUAAUGUUUUCAAAGAUACGGUGAAUUAGGGGUGUACAUGGCCGGGUUGGUUCGGGUUUUUCAAAUAUCAAACCAAACCAUUUAGGUCGGAUUUUUAAAUUUAUAAACCAAACCAAACCAAUAAAACUCGGGUUUUUCAACCUCGGGUUUUUUCGGGUUUUUCGGUUUUUCGGGUUUUUCCGGUAAAGUAUUCAUACACAACAUAUAAUUUACUUGUACUUCAAAUAUUUCUUUAGUCCUACCAAAAUACAACUAUCUAAGAUGUUUCUUAAAAAUAUAACACAAUAUAAUAUGAUUAAUGACACUAAAAUAUCCAACAAAAAUAAUAAUAAUGAAAUCGCGUAAAACAAAUAUUGCAAAUUAACAAGUCAUAAUGAAAAUGAUCAUAAUUUAAAAGUACUAAAUCAUGCUAAAAUUAAGUUUAAUAAGUAUUAGUUACAUGACUAAAUAUUAAAGAAAAUUAAAAUUAGAUUAUGUAUUUUAAUUGUCUAAACCAAUGUAAAACUAAAGAACAAAUAUUCAAUAUUAUUGUCAUUCUUAGUGUUGAAUUGAUUUUCUUUUUGCAUUAGUAUUAAUUUGAUUUAGAUUUAAGCUUUAUUAUAAUUACCAACAUCUGUGAACUAUAAUCUUUAUUGAACCAUUUAGAAUUCUAACUCAAACUUGAAAUAAUAAUAUAUGAAAAGAUAAAAACUAUGAAAAAGUAUAAGAAAGAUUUAAAAAUUAUUUCAAAGUAAAUAUUUUUAUGUAUAAAAUAAAAUUUUAAAAUUAUAUAUAUAAUGUCGGGUUGAUUUGGUCUCGGGUUGGUUUUUUUUAGUUAAAACCAAACCAACCCAAAUAUAGUCGGAUUUUUUUUAUAUAAAUUCGGGUUGGUUUGGUCUCGGGUUGGUUUUUUUUAGUUAAAACCAAACCAACCCAAAUAUAGUCGGGUUUUAUUUUUCAAAACCAAACCAAGUCAAACCAAACCACUAGUCGGGUUUUUUUUCCGGGUUGACUCAGUUUGCGGUUUGGUUCGGUUCUCGGUUCGGUUUUGUACACCCCUACGGUGAAUGAUAAAUUGACCUCAGUUUAUUAGUCUUUUUUAAAAAGUGAGAAAAUAUAUAAGAUAAUAUAAAGGAUAUUUAUAAAGGAUCGUGACUAUUCCAUCUUUUGAACAUAACAAAACAUUCUUCAGGCUUGUAGGAACUAAUUGUGUGUCCUGCUUCCUAUUAAAAAAAACAAAUAAAGUAAAAAUAUAAUAAUCAAAAGCUCUUAAAAAAAUUCAAUUUAGCUAAAUUGAGAUAAAUUAACUUAUAUAGUGUAAAAUUAGUGGCACAAUUAAUUUUAAAUACCUUCACGGUUGCACAAGUCAUUUAGUUGGAGUAAGAUCUUGUAUAACUACAAUGAUACGAUAUUAGAAAAAUGAUUAAGUAUUAUCAACUAACUUAAUGAUUAGUUUUAAUUAAAAAUUCAUAAUUGUAAUUAAGGAUGUUAAAUUUGGAGAUUAAUCACUCAGCAACUUGAUUAUUUACGUUCCAUGGAUGCCAAUCAUCAUCAAUAGAGUAGUUUAGAGACUUUAUCCAUGUUUGUGUGUCUUGAAAAGGUACUAUAUAAUCAUGAUCUCCACUGUUAAAUUAAACAUGAAAAAAAAAACUUCCAUUAUAUAUAUAUAUAUAUAUUCAUGAAAUAAGUUGUUUCUGUUGGAAAGCUAUAUUUGAUGAUAAGGAACGAAUGGACCUCCUUUAAAGUUUUAUGACACAUAUUUGUGAACAAUUAAAUCCCAUAUCUCCAAAGACAAAUAUGUGCACAAAAUUGAAAGAGAGGUAGCAUUUCGUCAAAGGCAAAAGAGUAAAAAAGAUGACAGAGUCCAUAGAAGAGUCAAAACUGGAAAUAGUGAUGUUCCCAUGGCUUGCUUUUGGUCACUUAAUCCCAUACAUGAAUCUGUCAAAUGAACUUGCAAAAAGAGGUCACAAAAUCUCAUUCUUGUUGCCCAAAAAUGCUGAAGUUAGACUUCAAAAACUCAAUCUUUACCCAAAUCUCAUCACAUUACAUAAACUGACAAUGCCUCACGUUCAUGGCCUUCCAUAUGGAGCAGAGACUACAGCUGAUGUUCCUGGAUCCUUGGAGAGUCUAUUAGCAACAGCUUUUGAUGAAUUGUAUGAUGAAAUCAAAUCUUUUCUUCAAAAUCUAAAACCCCAUUUCGUUUUCUUUGAUUUUGCUUAUUGGAUUCCUGAUUUAGCACUAGAAAUUGGGGGUAUCAAGACUCUAUGUUACAAAGUUGUUUGCCCUGCUAUAUCAUCUAUAGCAUUGAUUCGAUCACCGGUUAAGACUACAUUUAUGGCAUCAACUGCAGCUGAGCUAGUAAAGCCACCACCAGAUUACCCUUCUACUACUGUGGUGUUGCGUGAAAGUGAAGCUAAGUUGUUAUCAUUUCUAUUUCAUGAAUAUGGCAAGGGGGUGACAUUUUACGAACGAUCCAAGAAGGGAAUGACAGGAUGCAACGCAAUAGGUGUGAAAACAUGUAGAGAGAUUGAAGGAACCUUUUGUGACUACAUAGCAACACAAUUUGAAAAGCCAGUCCUGUACACAGGGCCUGUUCUUGCUGAACCGACAAAGGGGCCUUUAGAAGAACAUGGAUUAUCGGAUUGGCUCGAGAAAUUCGAGGCAGGAUCAGUAGUGUUCUGUGCAUUUAGGAGCCAAAUGAUUCUUGAAAAGAAACAGUUUCAACAACUUGUUUUAGGCUUUGAACUGACUGAGUUACCAUUUCUUUUAGUUGUUAAGCCACCUGAAGGGACAAAUUCAGUAGAAGAAGCCUUGCCGGAGGGAUUCAAAGAAAGGGUUCAAGAAAAAGGAUUGAUUCUUGAUUGUUGGGUGCCACAAUUGGAGAUUUUAAGUCACAAAUCAGUUGGUUGUUUUGUGACUCACUGUGGUUAUGGGUCGAUGUGGGAGUCUUUGGCACUGUGUGAUUGUCAAUUGGUACUUUUGCCAAGGCCUAUUGAUCACAUNNNNNNNNNNNNNNNNNNNNNNNNNNNNNNNNNNNNNNNNNNNNNNNNNNNNNNNNNNNNNNNNNNNNNNNNNNNNNNNNNNNNNNNNNNNNNNNNNNNNNNNNNNNNNNNNNNNNNNNNNNNNNNNNNNNNNNNNNNNNNNNNNNNNNNNNNNNNNNNNNNNNNNNNNNNNNNNNNNNNNNNNNNNNNNNNNNNNNNNNNNNNNNNNNNNNNNNNNNNNNNNNNNNNNNNNNNNNNNNNCUCUUUAAAUAUAACUCAAUCUGGCUAAAUUGAUAUACAUGAAUUGCUUCUCAAUUUUCAUGUAACUUGUUUCUAAAAUUAAUUUCAUACCUUCACUGUUGCAUAAGUCAUUUUGUUGGAGUAAGAUCUCGUAUAACUACAAUGAUACGAUAUUAGAAAAAUGAUUUAAGUAUUAUCAACUAACAUACUAAUUAGUUUUAAUUAAAAAAUCAUAAUUGUAAUUAAGGAUGUAAAAUUUGGAGAUUAAUUACCCAGCAACUUGAUUGUUUACGUUCCAUUGACGCCAAUCAUCAUCAAUAGAGUAGUUUAGAGACUUUAUCCAUGUUUGUGUGUCUUGAAAAGGUACCAUAUAAUCAUGAUCUCCACUGUUAAAUUAAACAUAAAAAGAAAAAACUUCCAUUAUAUAUAUAUUCAUGAAAUAAGUUGUUAUCUGUUGGAAAGCUAUAUUUGAUGAUAAGGAAGGAACCAAUGGACCUCCUUUAAAGUUUUAUGACACAUUUGUGAACAAUUAAAUCCCAUAUCUCCAAAUACAAAUAUGUGCACAAAAUUGAAAGAGAGGUAGCCAAAUUGGUCGUCUUGUGAAAGAGAAUCAUAAGAAAUGGAAGGAACUUCUUUCGAGUCCUGGCUUCAUGAGUAACUACAUUGAUAACUUCAUUCAAGACUUGCAUGGGCUUCUAGUUGAAAAGACUAGAUAAUUAGCAGAAUGAAUCUAAUGUUGAAGUUACGAGGUUGACAGAAUUCAGUGAAUUGUGUUGAGAAAUUUUGCUUAAUAUGUAUGAAUCUAUAGACUCAAAACUGUCUAUCUAGUGAUGUAACUUGCAUUAUUCGAAUGUUUUCAUGCCAUGUUUAGGAGUUAUACACCUUCAUCUCAAAUUUGGAGUUUUUUUUUUAAGAUAACAUUUUUACCUCUAAAUGCACUUUCUGAACACUCAAAGGAGUCUAGGAAAAAGGACCAUAAAUAUUAUGUCUAAAUUUUAUUAUUAGCAUAGAAGAGUUUAAUCCAUUAGGUGCAUUACAAGAUUUUAAUCCCAUCUUCAGCCCCUCUUCCAAAAGACAUGUAAAACCAGAACAGGGGAAGAUUUUGUUCACAAACAUCUAAAGUUGGUAAAGUUAAGAAAAUAUUAUUUUCAGUAAAAUAAAAUAAAAUAGAGAGAAGAUAUAUAGAUGAAGUUGAGGACUAUUUAUAAAGGAUCAUAAUUUAUCCAUCUUUUGAACAUAACAAAACAUUCUUCAGGUUUGUCUGUACAAGCUGUGUGUCCUGAUCCCUAUUAAACAAAAAUAAAAAUAAAUGCAAAGUUAAAUACAAAUAUAAAAUAAAAAUAAAGCUCUUUAAAUAUAACUCAAUCUGGCUAAAUUGACACAAUAAUUACUUCUCAAUUUUCAUGUAAUUAACUUAUUUCUAAAAUUAAUUUCAUACCUUCACUGUUGCGUAAGUCAUUUUGUUGGAGUAAGAUCUCGUAUAACUACAAUGAUACGAUAUUAGAAAAAUGAUUUAAGUAUUAUCAACUAACAUACUAAUUAGUUUUAAUUAAAAAAUCAUAAUUGUAAUUAAGGAUGUAAAAUUUGGAGAUUAAUUACCCAGCAACUUGAUUGUUUACGUUCCAUUGACGCCAAUCAUCAUCAAUAGAGUAGUUUAGAGACUUUAUCCAUGUUUGUGUGUCUUGAAAAGGUACCAUAUAAUCAUGAUCUCCACUGUUAAAUUAAACAUAAAAAGAAAAAACUUCCAUUAUAUAUAUAUUCAUGAAAUAAGUUGUUAUCUGUUGGAAAGCUAUAUUUGAUGAUAAGGAAGGAACCAAUGGACCUCCUUUAAAGUUUUAUGACACAUUUGUGAACAAUUAAAUCCCAUAUCUCCAAAUACAAAUAUGUGCACAAAAUUGAAAGAGAGGUAGCCAAAUUGGUCGUCUUGUGAAAGAGAAUCAUAAGAAAUGGAAGGAACUUCUUUCGAGUCCUGGCUUCAUGAGUAACUACAUUGAUAACUUCAUUCAAGACUUGCAUGGGCUUCUAGUUGAAAAGACUAGAUAAUUAGCAGAAUGAAUCUAAUGUUGAAGUUACGAGGUUGACAGAAUUCAGUGAAUUGUGUUGAGAAAUUUUGCUUAAUAUGUAUGAAUCUAUAGACUCAAAACUGUCUAUCUAGUGAUGUAACUUGCAUUAUUCGAAUGUUUUCAUGCCAUGUUUAGGAGUUAUACACCUUCAUCUCAAAUUUGGAGUUUUUUUUUUAAGAUAACAUUUUUACCUCUAAAUGCACUUUCUGAACACUCAAAGGAGUCUAGGAAAAAGGACCAUAAAUAUUAUGUCUAAAUUUUAUUAUUAGCAUAGAAGAGUUUAAUCCAUUAGGUGCAUUACAAGAUUUUAAUCCCAUCUUCAGCCCCUCUUCCAAAAGACAUGUAAAACCAGAACAGGGGAAGAUUUUGUUCACAAACAUCUAAAGUUGGUAAAGUUAAGAAAAUAUUAUUUUCAGUAAAAUAAAAUAAAAUAGAGAGAAGAUAUAUAGAUGAAGUUGAGGACUAUUUAUAAAGGAUCAUAAUUUAUCCAUCUUUUGAACAUAACAAAACAUUCUUCAGGUUUGUCUGUACAAGCUGUGUGUCCUGAUCCCUAUUAAACAAAAAUAAAAAUAAAUGCAAAGUUAAAUACAAAUAUAAAAUAAAAAUAAAGCUCUUUAAAUAUAACUCAAUCUGGCUAAAUUGACACAAUAAUUACUUCUCAAUUUUCAUGUAAUUAACUUAUUUCUAAAAUUAAUUUCAUACCUUCACUGUUGCGUAAGUCAUUUUGUUGGAGUAAGAUCUCAUAUAACUACAAUGAUACGAUAUUAGAAAAAUGAUUUAAGUAUUAUCAACUAACAUACUAAUUAGUUUUAAUUAAAAAAUCAUAAUUGUAAUUAAGGAUGUAAAAUUUGGAGAUUAAUUACCCAGCAACUUGAUUGUUUACGUUCCAUUGACGCCAAUCAUCAUCAAUAGAGUAGUUUAGAGACUUUAUCCAUCGUUUGUGUGUCUUGAAAAGGUACCAUAUAAUCAUGAUCUCCACUGUUAAAUUAAACAUAAAAAAAAACUUUCAUUAUAUAUAUUCAUGAAAUAAGUUGUUUCACUAUAAACUAAUAUGCCAAUUAUCUUUAAAUAUUAAAAACUGAAGAGUAAUUGGGAACCUGGAUUUAAAAGAUCAUUAAUAAUAUAAUAGUUUGUGUUUGGUACGAAUAAGUCCUUUGGCCUUUUGGCAUUAUCAUUGAAAAUAUUUAAUAACAUUCUUUUCAGUUUAAUUUAUUGAUGGGUUUGAUUUUUUAUACACUUCCAAAUUCGGAUAUCAUGUGAGUUAGAAUUAUAAUUAUUAGUUGACAAUAACUAUAAUCUCAAGUCAAAUAUAUAAAGUUAAAACAGACACAAACGUAACAAUGAAUAUUAAUUACUUGUAUAUAAGUGAUCGAUAGCCUUUAGUGCUUAGAUUUGCAUGAUAUGGUACAACAUUAUGUACCGUCAAAGUGUAGUUGUGAUGAGGGCCUUCACUUAUAUCUCUUCUACAUUUUAUCCAGCUUUCUAUAAUUCCCUGCAAAGAGUAAAAUCACAAGUAAAAUUAUCAUUUUAUUUUUAAAAAAAAUCUAAUUAGACAAACACUCUUAUAUUUGUCUUUAUUUUUUAUUGUAAGUAUGUAAUUAGGACGUAAUUCCACCAAAUACAUGUAUUUGAAUAACUAUAUUAUCGUCUUAAUAUUUUUAAGUGUGUAAUUACGGCGUAAUUACACCGGAUACUUAUAACUGGAUGACUAUAUCUUCGUUUGCAUUUUUUUCUAAGUAUGUUAUUUAUGCAUAGAUAUCCUGGAUACAUCACAAAAUUGAUACCAGAUAGGUGUAUUUUUGCACAAAUAUACUAGUAUCAUCACAGAUACAGUGAAAACAUCAAUGCAUUUUUAUACUAAAUAUACUAGAUAAAUUUGAUAUACCCAGAUACAUUGAAUAUAUCAGUGCAUAUUAAAUACUGAAUAUAUGAAUACAUGAAAGUGUGAAAUAUAAAUACAUUAUGAAACAUAAAUACAAAAAACUAGAGGGAUGAGAGAGGCGGACGAUAGAGGAGUGAGAUAAGAUACAUUCAUUAGAUACAAUGUAUCUAGAGACAACUCGAACAAGAUUCAUAAUUAUUGAAUGCAUUGAUGAGUAAUUAGCACAUGUACUAGUGUACUUUAUGAAAGUUUAUUUUUUAUUUAUUGAUUCUUACGAGGUGUAUCAAGUCAAUAUUAUAAAUAAUAUAUAUAUAUAAUCCACAUACCUUCCGAACAUGAAGAGCUUCUUGGACUUCAGGGUCAUUAGCCCAAUACCUCAUAUGCUUACGCCAAUCAGACUGAAGUAAUUGAGAAUAAGUUUUUACGGUUAAUAGUAUCUUAUUUAUUCAUUUAAGUUAAAAACACAGACAACAAAUAUAAUAAUUUGUAUAUAUAGCCUAGGCCAUUAUCGAUCAUUUUCUUCACUUCUAUUUGUCUUAUUCUUUUUUUUUCAAAAUUUUUAGGAUAUAAUUUCUCAGAUGGAUGAGGGUAGUUUUUUUUUUUAAUGUCAUUCAAUUUUUUUUUAACCAAAAGUCAAUCAACUAAUUAUAGUAUAAAACAAAGAUGACCAACUUUCUAAAAGAACUCUCCGAAGUUAAGUGAUCAUCUAAGAUUUUUUUUUAGUGAUCAUCUAAGAUAUUAUCAUUUUUUUCUCCAUUAACUACAACAAUAGAAUAGACUCCUAUGCUGAGAGUAUAUGGGUAUAGAGUCUAGCUAACCACCUCAACUUCCAUUCUGACAUGCUAUAAAUAUUAAAGUUUCUUGAUGCCGAAAAUAUGAGAAAUAAAAAAACAAAAAAAACUUACAUCACACUUAUCUUCACGUUGCAAGGAGAUGAGUUUAUCAUCAAGUAAUCUUCUUUCACCAGUCAUUUGAUAUAUGUCUUUAGGAUCAUCAUCAUUUGUGCAAAAGGGCUUUAAUACGUGUUCCACAUUAAUGUUUCUUAUCAUCUGCAUAAUUAUAUUUUAAUUUAAUCACAUAAAAAUAAUUAAUAAUAUAUUAUCACAUGUUAAAGUACAUCGAUCGAUAGUACUGUAAAACAAUAUUUAUAACCUGUUUGAAAUUUCGAAAGUCAUUUGCACAUCCUGUAUUGUUGGGAUGUAUGCUUGUGUAUUCUCCUCUACAAUUCUUCUCUAAUGACUGUUAAGACAAAUUAAUAUUCAAAUUAACUUGAUAUGUCAAAUUCUAAAGCUAAUUAUAUACAUUUUUGAAUAAUGUGGAAAGUAAUUAAAAUAAAUUAAUUGUGACUUAAACCUUAUAAAGUUCAUCAGAUAUAAGUCCCAUGCCAUGGCAAAAAACUAUAUGGUAAUUUUCAUCUUGAGGAUAAAUUGUUACACCAUUGCCAAUUAAAUAUCCCUGAAAUUAACCAUGCAUGAAAUAAAUAAAUAAAUAUAUAUAUAUAUAUAUAUAUAUAUACACACACAUAUAUAUAUUAAAUAGAAAGAUUAUUUGAUGAUGGUAAUUAGUUAUUAGAUAACAAAUUAGAGAAAUAUGGACCUGAAGAUUAACUAAUGGCUCUUUGCCUGCUAUAUUUCCUGCAUUGCAAAAUCAAAGAUUAAUUUCUUUAAGGGUGAUGACAUUUAAUAUAUGUAUAAAAGUAAUUUUUGAUUGAUAUAUACAACACAAUUUUCUAUUUACGAAAUAUAAUAUUUUGACAAAUUAAGAAUAUUCAACUGAUCAUAUUACUUUUUUAAAAGUGCAUUGAUAUUAAAAGUGCAUUGAUAUUUGUCCUUUUACGUACUUUGACUCUUAAAAACAUUUUAAAAAAGAUUAGUCAAACAUUAUCUCCUUAUCAAAAGCACAUUUCAAAUGAAUUAGCCAAUGCAUAUUACUUUUUUCAAAAUUACUUUUCUAAAAAUUCAUUUUAACUAAAGUACUUCUAAAAAUAAGUAAUUUUUGAAAGUAAUGUCAAACAAGCUCUAUGUGUCUCCAUCAUGAUAUUGAUCUAUUUUGUGUGUAUAUUACUUUGCAUAAAUUCUGCAAUUACACUAAGAAUUUGUUUUACUAAAAAUGCACAUAACCCAAUAUGUGUUGAGUACCUGUAUUUGGAAUAUCUACUCAAUAGUUUUAUCGAUCGUAUAGAUAAAUCUUACCAUUUGAUAUCAACUGAGUUAUAAUUGGAAUAUCCAUGCCAGCAUAUGAAUUUCCAGAAACAUAAAAUGGAUUUGAGAUGAAUUGUGGAUGAUCACUGAGCCACUGAAAUAAAAAAAAAAAACUAGAUGAUUAAGUUAACAUUAUUCCAAUUUGUUUUAUAAUAACAAAUUUCAAAAUUUACGUACGUACCUUUCUUAAGAAUUCAUCUACAUAUUCACAUGCUUGCACAUCAGUAUACUUAUAUGCAGCUGAAUUUGUUGCAUAUGAGAAUCCAGUGUUUACUGGUUGAUCCAAAAAUAUUACAUUUGCUAUCUGAAAAUCGAUAAUUGAACGAUAUAUAUGCGUAACGUUUCCUUAAUUAUAUACUCGUAUAUUAUUACUAUAAUAUUUUUUUUGCCAAAACAAUAUUAUUGGAUAAUGUAAUAUGUAUAAAUAAUAAUACAUGUAGCUAACCUUUGUCCAUGCAUGUGGGUUUAGUACAAACGAAGGCAUACUCCCAUUGUAGACUUGUUCCACAAAACGGACUGGUCCUGAACAAGAAAAUUUCUUAUUUUUAGCUUGGAUUAUUAUUAUUUUAAUUUUAUUUUUAAAAAAGUGUUUGUUUGAAAAGGAAAAAGAAUUAUGUUAUGUUUGGAAAAUAUUUGUAAAUAAAACAUAUCGACAAAUGUUUUCUAACAAAAAUUACUUUUGUAAUUUAAACACAAUUAAUUCUCCCUCUACUUGUCCAUUAUUUCAAAAUUAUUGUUAAUUGUCAUUUUUAACAUGUCAGUUAUUAAUUUUUCAUGUUUUACCCUUAGCUUUAUUUAGUUAUUUCCCAAAUCAUUUUCCAAGACUCAACAAUAUUAAACAUCAAUUGAUAGAUAUAGUGAUCGAGGUCAAAUAGUUAUGCCAAAUCUGAAUAGUGAAAACUAUCUUAUUACAUAUCUUACCACUAAUUAUGAGUUUCCUAACAUUUAUUGAGGAUGAUACACCUAGAUACAUGCAUUUUUGCUAUCAGAUAUUCUAAAAUAGGGAGAGAGAGACGGGCGUUAUGAGGAUAGAGGCGCACGAGAUAAUCAUGUAUCUCAGAUACAUAGAAGAAUGACGAGAGAGAUGGAAGGGAGGAGAGCGAGCAAAAUUUGUUAUAUAUCUCAGAAACAUGUGAAUUCACUUGGACACAAUAUAUCUAAAAUUAAAAUUGCAUCUAAUUAAGACAUCACGUAUCCUGAGAUACAUGUAUAGUUAGAUUAAUAAUAUUGUAAACUAAAGCGUUUCUUAGUAAUUAACUCUUAAACUCGUAUAUAUAUAUAUAUAUAUUACAUCUAAAUGUGACAAAUAAAAGAGAAUGGAGGAAUAUACAUUUUAAAAUUUUAAACUGUAGAAUUUUAAAAAAAAUUGUAGUUUCUAAAGUUUGUGCAAUAUCAAAAUCAAAUGACCAAAUUUUAAAAUAAAAUAAAGUACCUAUCUCAUCAACAAUGGCAAUGACAGAAGAGCAACCUGGUCCACCAGAUAGCCAAACCAAAAGAGGAUCAGCAGUAGGCUCUGAUUCUGACUCCAAAAAAUAGUAGAAAAGUUGCACCUCCUCAUCUUUACCAAUUCCAACAUACCUAUUUUUAAUUAUAAAGUAUUAUUACACUAGUGUCAUAUAAAAUAAUUAAAAUAUUUUAGCUACUUCGUCUAUCUAUUUUUAGAGAUUUUAAAUCCUCUUAUUGAAAAUCUUGACCACGCCAGUGACCACAACCAUUACCUUCACCACCAUUAUUAGACACCUUUUAAUCACCCCCCACAAUCACAACUAGCAUCAGACAUUUUUGAGUAAUCACUAACAUUAACAAACUUCAUCAUUACAAUCAACACAGUCACAAUCAUUUGCCAUUAUCAUAUUAGUCACUACAAUACUAACCUCUUCCACUAUCACAAUCACCCUUAUCACUGUCAUCUCUACAAAUCAUCUUACCAUAAUAACUAUAUUUGACAUAGUCAUUUUAAAAUUUAAAACCUAUAAAAUUUAUUUUCAAACUUCACCUUUAAUAUUACCAAGAAACUACAAUUUUAGGAUAAAUAUCCUCUCGUUCUCAAAUAAAUAAAUACAAACAAGCUCACCCGGUCUCUAGAGGGAACGGGAGGCGGCCCUGCCAACCGGGAAGAUACUCAAUUGGUGAAAAAAUUUGGCUCUAAAAUAAACUCAAAAAUUUAAAUAGUCAUUCAAAUGCAUUUUAAUUUUUGAAAUCUAGCAUAUUCAUCAUUUAUUGAAAAGUUGACUUAAGAAAACAUUAAAUAACAAUAAAAGGGUAAAGUUACUUAAUUUCUUAAUGCAAAUGCAAUCUAAAAAGAUGACAUAUAAAAAGAAACGGAGGGAGUAUAUACCUUUUCUUUUGGUCCGUAAGUUUUCUUUCUUCACUUUUUUUGUUUUGAAUUCAAAUUGUGUAAAUAUCUCAAAAUGUAUAUUUUAUCAUCUAAAAAUAAGAAGAAAUUGUAACUUAUCGUAUAAUUUUGAAUAUCUAUAUGUUAAUUUGGAAACAUUCAUUAAUUAAUUUAAUUCAAAUCUAACUUUAAAGAUUGAUCAAAUUUAACUUUUAAAAAGACAAAAACUAUAUCAUAAAUUAAAAUAUUACAUAAAAUUUAAUUUAUUUUUUACUUUUUUAAAGUUAAUACAAAAUUUAAAUAAAAUAAUCAAAUAAUAUAAAAUGAAGAGAGUACUAGAUUGUUUUAUUUGUUGCACAUAUUUUUCUCUACGUGGAUAAAAUAUAACCACACUACUUUAGUUUAAUAUUUUAGGUAUCCUCGGGUCCCGCAGGAGUAAUUAGUAAUUUUGCUGAAUUAAUGGGUCAUGCAAGCUGGUAAGAAACACCUCCCUUCAACUAAUAAGAACUCUCUUUUUGAUAAAUUUUAUGCACUCUAUAUUUUUUUGUUGUAUUGUGUGUUACAAAUCAAAUGAAGACCACCACUAUUUGUACUAGAAGAAGUCUUCCUAGCAAUGAAUAGGAAGAUAAUGGUGUAGUAAAUAGUGAAGAUAAUGGUCUUAGGAGUUACAUAGGUUACAAGAAUAAUGGAGGAGUAAAAAAUGAAAUAAAGUUGAGGGCAACAAAUGCACUAACGUGCAGAUGCCAACGUUCCAUUGCCAACGUUCAGAAAGCAAUAUGCCUUAUGCCUCUGGUCAUUAAUUGACCAUGAAGGCAAUAUGCAAUAUGCCUUAGGCACAAAUGGCAUACAUUUCAGCAAAGACUUAGUGUGGCAGUGGCAAUGUGAAUAUGUAACAAUUUGUAUAAUAUUAAAAUGGUCACAUCAACAAUCUUGUUGGGUAAUUUGUUGAGUUUUAUUUGCCCUGAAUUUCUUACCAUAAAUAGGUUUUCCUUUAGGAAAAAGUUUUGGAUUGGCAAGUCCUUUUCUUGUAGGAAAAGGUUUAGGACUCUAUAAAUAGAGGUUUGUUCCUUCUAACUUAAUCAACAUUCACAAUGUAAUCUUAAGGGCUUUGAGAGUUUUGGUUAGGGGGAGAAUUUGUGGGUCACAAGCUUGAUACGUUAUCACUUGUGUGAACCUCCCAUGUAUUUCGAGUGAAUUGGUUGAGGUUAUUUCUCUCUAUAUUUUGUACUCUCAUGUUUAUAUAGUGGAUUGCUCAUCUCCUUUGUGGACGUAGGUCGAUUGACCGAACCACAUUAAAUCUUUGUGUCUUUGUAUAUUUCUUGUUUGUCUUCUUACUCAUGGUCUUUCGAGGUUUGCUUUGCUAGCUUCCGCGUUACACCUGCUUAUUUCGGUCCUAACAAGUGGUAUCAGAGCCCAGGUUUGGGUGUGUCGGAGUAGUGGACUGCGUUUAGUGAGAAGUUCCCGAUGUGACAACAAGACUAGAGAUCUGCAGGGGUGCCUUGUGUCGAAAGUCUUCCUGGCAAAGUGGUGGUCCAGGUGGCGUGUCCCGUUAUGUGAUAUUGGCGGUGCAAGAUGAUUUGGCAGAUCAGAUGGUGUGACCUAGCGAUUGGAGAUCUGCGGUUGAUGCCUUGUGUCGAAAGUCUUCUUGACAAAGUGGUGGUCGAGCGGUGUGUCCCACUGGUCAGUAGUGGCGGUGCAAGAUGGUUAGCACAGAUCAAAUGUAUCAUCGUUGAAGGGGAGGUUACAAAGUGUGUGGUCUUGGUUUGAGGGGAGGAUUGUUGGGUAACAACCUAUCCCACAUCGGAUGGAGAAGAAGAAAUGUACCAAUAUAUAAGUGCUCACCCAACUCCAUUAAUAUGAGGCCUUUUGGGAUGUGCCCAAAAACAAAUCUGUGAGGGCUUGACCCAAAGCGGACAAUAUCAUACUAAUGUGGAGUUAGGGUGGUGGUACGCGCGAUCCCAACAUGUGGUAUUAGAGCCAGAUUCAAUGAUGGAGUCAGGUUUAGUGGUUCAAAAAUCGAUGAUUGAACUAGGUUAAAAAGAUGGGUGUUCAUCUUAGCGGGCGUAGUUCUAGCCGCAACCUUUUUUACAGUAAUAAAGAUUUUUGUUGGAGAAAUUGUUUCAGAGAAGUUCUCUGUGUUGAUACAUAGAUUUGAUGGAGGAGAUUAUGGAGAGGAGAAAUAAGCUGUUGAAGAUUAUGUGAAGAAGGUGGACAAAUUUAUUUUGUCAGAAAUUCAAGCCAAGGGGGAGAUUUGUUGAGUUUUAUUUGCCCUGAAUUUCUUACCAUAAAUAGGUUUUCCUUUAGGAAAAAGUUUUGGAUUGACAAGUCCUUUUCUUGUAGGAAAAGGUUUAGGACUCUAUAAAUAGAGGUUUGUUCCUUCUAACUUAAUCAACAUUCACAAUGUAAUCUUAAGGGCUUUGAGAGUUUUGGUUAGGGGGAGAAUUUGUGGGUCACAAGCUUGAUACGUUAUCACUUGUGUGAACCUCCCAUGUAUUCCGAGUGAAUUGGUUGAGGUUAUUUCUCUCUAUAUUUUGUACUCUCAUGUUUAUAUAGUGGAUUGCUCAUCUCCUUUGUGGACGUAGGUCGAUUGACCGAACCACAUUAAAAUCUUUGUGUCUUUGUAUAUUUCUUGUUUGUCUUCUUACUCAUGGUCUUUCGAGGUUUGCUUUGCUAGCUUCCGCGUUACAUCUGCUUAUUUCGGUCCUAACACAAUCCCCCACUCAUUUAAAUAUUAGACAAGAGAGUAUAUCAUCUGAAGGAGAUUACCAUGCAUAAUAAAGGUGUGCUUUGCAUUGAACCUUUACUUAGUGAAACAAUAAUUUUUACUCCAGAGUCGUAGUGGUCUCAGACUUGAACUAUGACUGCUUAAGGGAAAUAAAAUAUCACUGCUCACACAUAAUAAUCAAGGUGUUGACAUGAGCUUUAAAGCCAACACGUUAUGGUCAUGUGCUAUCCCGGUUUCAUGAGUGUUUUUUAGAAUAAGCCCAAUUCUCAUAGGAAGCGACCUACUUCCACACAUCACAUAUGUGAAAUCUGUCGAGAUUGCUCCUGUAAGUUUAACACUCCACCCAUACGGGCUACAUAUAUUCAUUAAGAGUUUUAUCAACUCAACCUUCACAAACUAUAGGAAACAAUGCACUCACAUCAUAUGAAGGGAAAUAAAAAGAUAGUGCAUUUUUCACAACAAGUCAUCAUAUGAUUAGUUUUUCCCUUUGAACCUGGUUAUAGGAUCUCUAGUCCCCAGGUUGGGUUUCCUCAUAUAUGACUCAAGGAUUUGUAGGCUUCAAUCCCAUCCCCUUCGAUGUGCUCCAUACCUUUUCUCUUGUUAAGGCCUUAGUAAGAGGAUCUACAAGAUUAUCACAAGAUUUGACAUAAUCAACAUUAAUGGUACCAUUUGUCAAAUAUGAUCUUACAUUACUGUGUUUUCUCCUUAUAGGUCUGGAUUUACCAUUGUAAUAUCGAUUUUGAACUCUACCAAUUGCAGCGGUGCUAUCACAAUGAAUUAAAAUAGGAGGCAUUGGUUUUCAAAAUAAGGAAUUUGAUACAAUAAAUCUCUUAACCAAUUCGCUUCCUCACUAGCUGAAGCUAAAAGCAAUUAAUUCAGCCUCCAUGGUAGAGUUAACAAUUAUAGUUUGCUUUUUUAAUCUCCAACAAACAGCACCACCACCUAAAGUAAAGACAUAACCAGUGAUAGAACAUGAAUCACCUGAUAACGUGUUCCAAUCUGCAUCACAAAAGCCUUCAAGUACAGCAGGAUAUUUUUUAUAGAACAAACCACAAUUUUUCGUUCCAAUUAAAUAUCUCAUAACUCUUGUUACAGCAUGACAAUGUUCAUUACUUGGCUUGCUUGUAAACCUGCUAAGUACUCCUACUGCAUAUGCAAUAUCAGGCCUUGUGCAAUCAGUCACAUAUCUCAAACUUCCGAUUAUGCUACCAUAUUCCUUUUGAUUUAUUACAUCAUUUUCAUUUUCAACAGGAAAUAAGUGAACACUUGAAUCAAAAGGAGUAGCAACAUGCUUGCAAUCAAGAAAGUUAUAUUUUUUUAAGAUUUUCUCAACAUAAUCUGACUGGUCAAGGUUCCAUCACAUGUUCUUGUUAUUUUUAUUCCAAGAAUAAUAUUUGCCUCACCAAGAUCUUUCAUAUCAAAAUGGCUUCUAAGAUAUUUUUAGCAUCAUCAAUAACAUUCAUGUUAAAGCCAAAGAUCAACAAAUCAUCAACAUAUAGGCAAAUAAUCACAUGUGAAUUAUUCCAAGACUUAUGAUAUAUGCACUUAUCACACUCAUUGUUUAAACCAUUUUCAAUCAUGCAAGAAUCAAACUUUUUCAUGUCAUUGCUUAGGUGCCUGUUUCAAGCCAUAUAGGGAUUUAGUAAGUUUACAUACUUUGUUUUCUUGGCCUGCUUCAACAAAAGACUCGGGUUGAUCCAUAUAAAUUUCCUCAUUUAGGUCUCCAUUUAAAAAAGCAGUUUUUACAUCCAUUUGAUGAAUUUGCAAAUAAAAAAUUGCAGUCAUAGCAAUUAAAAGUUUUAUGGAUGUAAUUCUUGUUACCGGUGAAAAAGUAUCAAAAAAUUCUAGGCCUUCCAGUUGUUUAAGACCUUUUGCAACUAGCCUAGCCUUGUAUUUAUCAAUACCCAAUUUUGGCAUAACAUUUUCAAAAAUUCGCAAAUUUUAAGUUUUAUUUAUUUUAUAGCUCAAAAUAAAUUUUUUAUAAUUUUAAAUAAGUUUAUCGAUAACUAUCCUUAUUUAUCAAAANNNNNNNNNNNNNNNNNNNNNNNNNNNNNNNNNNNNNNNNNNNNNNNNNNNNNNNNNNNNNNNNNNNNNNNNNNNNNNNNNNNNNNNNNNNNNNNNNNNNNNNNNNNNNNNNNNNNNNNNNNNNNNNNNNNNNNNNNNNNNNNNNNNNNNNNNNNNNNNNNNNNNNNNNNNNNNNNNNNNNNNNNNNNNNNNNNNNNNNNNNNNNNNNNNNNNNNNNNNNNNNNNNNNNNNNNNNNNNNNNNNNNNNNNNNNNNNNNNNNNNNNNNNNNNNNNNNNNNNNNNNNNNNNNNNNNNNNNNNNNNNNNNNNNNNNNNNNNNNNNNNNNNNNNNNNNNNNNNNNNNNNNNNNNNNNNNNNNNNNNNNNNNNNNNNNNNNNNNNNNNNNNNNNNNNNNNNNNNNNNNNNNNNNNNNNNNNNNNNNNNNNNNNNNNNNNNNNNNNNNNNNNNNNNNNNNNNNNNNNNNNNNNNNNNNNNNNNNNNNNNNNNNNNNNNNNNNNNNNNNNNNNNNNNNNNNNNNNNNNNNNNNNNNNNNNNNNNNNNNNNNNNNNNNNNNNNNNNNNNNNNNNNNNNNNNNNNNNNNNNNNNNNNNNNNNNNNNNNNNNNNNNNNNNNNNNNNNNNNNNNNNNNNNNNNNNNNNNNNNNNNNNNNNNNNNNNNNNNNNNNNNNNNNNNNNNNNNNNNNNNNNNNNNNNNNNNNNNNNNNNNNNNNNNNNNNNNNNNNNNNNNNNNNNNNNNNNNNNNNNNNNNNNNNNNNNNNNNNNNNNNNNNNNNNNNNNNNNNNNNNNNNNNNNNNNNNNNNNNNNNNNNNNNNNNNNNNNNNNNNNNNNNNNNNNNNNNNNNNNNNNNNNNNNNNNNNNNNNNNNNNNNNNNNNNNNNNNNNNNNNNNNNNNNNNNNNNNNNNNNNNNNNNNNNNNNNNNNNNNNNNNNNNNNNNNNNNNNNNNNNNNNNNNNNNNNNNNNNNNNNNNNNNNNNNNNNNNNNNNNNNNNNNNNNNNNNNNNNNNNNNNNNNNNNNNNNNNNNNNNNNNNNNNNNNNNNNNNNNNNNNNNNNNNNNNNNNNNNNNNNNNNNNNNNNNNNNNNNNNNNNNNNNNNNNNNNNNNNNNNNNNNNNNNNNNNNNNNNNNNNNNNNNNNNNNNNNNNNNNNNNNNNNNNNNNNNNNNNNNNNNNNNNNNNNNNNNNNNNNNNNNNNNNNNNNNNNNNNNNNNNNNNNNNNNNNNNNNNNNNNNNNNNNNNNNNNNNNNNNNNNNNNNNNNNNNNNNNNNNNNNNNNNNNNNNNNNNNNNNNNNNNNNNNNNNNNNNNNNNNNNNNNNNNNNNNNNNNNNNNNNNNNNNNNNNNNNNNNNNNNNNNNNNNNNUUUACUAUUAUUUUUCUUAAAUUUUUUCUUCUUAGGCUUCAAAGAAGUAUUUUUGUGAGUUUCAAGACUAGCAUUACUUGAAGUGAUUAAAUUUACCUUCGCCGUGAUGUUGCUAUCUUCUUUUUGUAAAAGUGCAUCUUGGUCCUUUGCCUCUUCACCAUCGUACUUUUCCACUUUUUCAUGAUGAGAAAUAAUUUCACCAUCAUCCAUGGAGGUGUCAUUAACUUUAUUAGGAUUCUUCUCAGUUAACACAUAAGAGAAACAUUGAGAAGACUUAAGUAGAAAAGUACUUUACCCUUUUCAUCUUUUGAAAUGGUUACCAUUGAAUCGAAAUGGCUUGUUAAGGUCUCCCAUCUUGACAUCCGCAAUUUUUUCAAUUGUAGUCAUUCUGAAUACUCCUUAAAAUUGUUAGUGAAAACUUACAGGAUAACAAAAUACAAGAUUACAAUUGAAAAUAAAUAUGAAGAAAAUAAAUCUCUUCAGGCUGAGGAGCGGAUAUCUCGCGCUCUUUAAGGAGAUUCAAGCCCACUGCAGCAAAUGUUUUCAAGAAAUACCUCCCUUUAACUAAUAAGAACUCUCUUUCAAAUACGCUAUCAUGCAUUAUAUAGUGUGCUUUCCAAUUUCAUUCUGCUCUCUAAAGAUGUGGUAUCUAUCUCCCUCCAGGUUACCCUUCUACUACUGUGGUGUUGCGUGAAAGUGAAGCUAAGCUGUUAUCAUUUUUAUAUCAUGAAUAUGGCAAGGGGGUGACAUUUCAAGAACGAAUGAAGGGAUUUUCACUAUGUGAUGCAAUAGCUGUGAAAACAUGUAGAGAGAUUGAAGGAAUCUUUUGUGACUACGUAGCAACACUACUUGAAAAGCCAGUCCUUUACAUUGGACCUGUAAUUCCCGAGCCCAAAAAGGAGCAACAUGAAUUAUCAAAUUGGCUCGAGAAAUUCGAACAAGGAUCAGUAGUGUUCUGUGCAUUUGGGAGCCAAAUGAUUCUUGAAAAGAAACAGUUUCAACAACUUGUUUUAGGCUUUGAACUGACUGAGUUACCAUUUCUUUUAGUUGUUAAGCCACCUCAAGGGACAAAUUCAGUAGAAGAAGCCUUGCCAGAGGGAUUCAAACAAAGGGUUCAAGAAAAGGGAUUGAUUCUUGAUUGUUAGGUGCCACAAUUGAAGAUUUUAAGACACAAAUCAGUUGGUUGUUUUGUGACUCACUGUGGUUAUGGGUCGAUGUGGGAGUCUUUGGUGCUGUGUGAUUGUCAAUUGGUACUUUUGCCAAGGCCUAUUGAUCACAUUUUUACUGCUAGGCUUAUGGGACAACACCUUCAGGUUGGUGUAGAAGUGGAGAAGGAUGAAAAUGAUUUGUUUACAAAGGAGAAUUUGUGCAAGGCUGUGAAAUGUGUGAUGGAUAAAGAUAGCCAAAUCGGUUGUUUAGUGAAAGAGAAUCAUAGGAAAUGGAAGGAACUUCUUUCGAGUCCUGGAUUCAUGAGUAACUACAUUGAUCACUUCAUUCAAGACUUGCAUGGACUUCUAGUUGAAAAGACCUAGAUGAAGUUACGAGAAGUGGAUCGACUGUUGAAGUUACGGGGUUGGCAGAAUCUAGUGUAUUCAUGUUAAGAAAUUUACUUUAUAUGUAUGAAUAAUCUACCCCUAACCAAUUGUUGUCCUGUUUUGAAAUUCAGAACCCAUAAACUUAAAAUGUAUCUAAUGAUGUUACUUGCAUUUAUUAGAUGUUUUAUGUGGUGUUUAGGAGUCCUACACAUUUCCUUCAAAUUUAGAACCCUUUUUUGUUAACAUUUAUAGACUUCUGAACACUCAAAUUACUUCUAUCGUAUGAAAAAUGGCUCAUAAAUAUUUUUUAUUCAUCUUUUGAGCUAAAUAUAUCUUAUUUAUCGUAUGAAAAAUGGCUCAUAAAUAUAUGUUUUAUGUGCUACUGCCUAUGCUAGAGCUUAGAGGUUAGAUAAAAGUUAUUGAUUGUUGGCUCUUGGCUGCUGCCUGCUACUACAUUCAAUUCGAACAUUUUGCUAAUUUUGUUCUCAUUUAAAUGCAUUUGCACUGAAAUAAUCAUAUAAGAAACAUCCAACUGAAUUAGUUUGAUUUGGUGUUUGGUGUACAUCUUUUCAAAAUCAAUAAAAAAAAAAGAAUGAAAUGCCCACCCUUAUUUUGUUGAAUGAGUCCUUUAAACGCAAGCUGAUUAGAUGUGUGGAAUAGAGGAAUCGUACGUAUCUAUUAGUGCAGCUGGCUACCGUUAAGAGAUUAAACUUUCAGAUAAAACUAAAUGGCUAUCAACUUCUCAUCAAUUAAAUCAGCUCUGAAUAUAGCUAUAUGAGGUCAUUUGGUAUGCAGAAUUAAAAUUAUAUGCUUUGAAUAUAGCUACUAAAUGAGCUCUAAAUGUAGCUAUAUGAGGUCGUUUGGUACGCCAAAUUAAAAUUAUACUAUAUUUUGGUAGAAGUUAUAAAUUUACCUCAACCUCCUGAGAUAAAUUGAAUAAACUGAAACAGAGGUAGCAAUUCAUCAGAGGCAAAGAAGAAGAAAAAAAGAUGUCAAAGCUUGAAAUAGUGAUGUUCCCAUGGUUUGCUUUUGGACACAUGAUUCCAUGUAUGAAUCUAUCAAAUGAACUUGCAAAAAGAGGUCACAAAAUCUCAUUCUUGUUUCCCAAAAAUGCUAAAAUUAGACUUCAAAAACUCAAUCUUUACCCAAAUCUCAUCACAUUUUACAAACUGACAAUACCUCAUGUUGAUGGCCUUCCAUAUGGAGCAGAGACUACAGCUGAUGUUCCUAAAUCAUUGGAGAGUCUAUUAGCAACAACUUUUGAUGAAUUGUAUGAUGAAAUCAAAUCUUUUCUUCAAAAUCUAAAACCCCAUUUCGUUUUCUUUGAUAUUGCUUAUUGGAUUCUUGAUUUAGCACGAGAAAUUGGGGGUAUCAAGACUCUGUUUUGCACUGUUUUUAGCCCUGCUGCCGCAUCUAUACCAUUUGUUAAGUCACCAGAUAAGACGGCAUCAACCGCAGCUGAGCUAGUAAAGCCACCACUAGAUUACCCUUCUACUACUGUGGUGUUGCGCGAAAAUGAAGCUAAGUUGUUAUCAUUUCUAUUUCAUGAAUAUGGAAAGGGGGUGACAUUUUACGAACGAGUGAAGAAGGGAAUGACAGGAUGCGACGCAAUAGGUAUGAGAACAUGUAAAGAGAUUGAAGGAACCUUUUGUGACUACAUAGCAACACAUUCUGAAAAGCCAGUCCUUUACACGGGACCUGUUCUUGCUGAACCGACAAAGGGGCCUUUAGAAGAACAUGGAUUAUCGGAUUGGCUCGAGAAAUUCGAGGCAGGAUCAGUAGUGUUUUGUGCAUUUGGGAGCCAAAUGAUUCUUGAAAAGAAACAGUUUCAACAACUCGUUUUAGGCUUUGAACUGAUUGAGUUACCAUUUCUAUUAGUUGUUAAGCCACCUGAAGGGACAAAUUCAGUAGAAGAAGCCUUACCAGAGGGAUUCAAAGAAAGGGUUCAAGAAAAGGGACUGAUUCUUGAUUGUUGGGUGCCACAAUUGGAGAUUUUAACUCACAAAUCAGUUGGUUGUUUUGUGACUCACUGUGGUUAUGGAUCGAUGUGGGAGUCAUUGGCACUGUGUGAUUGUCAAUUGGUACUUUUGCCAAGACCUUUUGAACACACUUUAAUUGCAAGGCUUAUGGAACAACAACUUAAGGUUGGCGUAGAAGUACUGGAGAAAGAUGAAAACGAUUUGUUUACAAAAGAGAAUUUGUGCAAGGCCUGUGAAAUGUGUGAUGAAUAAAGAUAGCCAAAUUGGUUGUCUUGCGAAAGAAAAUCAUAGGAAAUGGAAGGAACUUCUUUCAAAUACUGGCUUCACGAGUAAUUAUAUUGACAACUUUGUUGACAGUUUGCAUGCACUUCUCGUUGAAAACACCUUUCACCUAGAUUAGCGGCAAAAAUGAGUAGGUGUGAAUAAUUCAUGCCCAAUCAAUCGUUAUCCUGUUUUUUAAAUUCAGAAUUCAUAAAUUUAAAAUAUUAUAUUUGAAUAAAUAUAUUUUACUAAUAUUGUCAUAAAUAUAAUGAUCAUCUAAUAUUGACAUUUUUAUUAAAAGUUUAGUUUGGUCUUUGAUUACAUCGGAAUUUUAAGUUUCAUUGUAUCUUGGAUAUUUUAUCAGAAUUUUAAGUUUCAUUGUAUCUUGGAUAUUUUAAUGUAGUAUUAUGAGUUAUACACCUUCCUUCAUUUUUUACUACCUCAAGAAAAAUACCAUCGAGAAUUACUGAUACGUUUGUUAUAUCUUAUAACAUGUAUUGUGUUAGUAAUGCUCCAACCUAGUAUGAUUAAGAUAAAAACUCUUAUGAUUAUUUUCUGAACCAUCUAAAUUACUAUUGUUGACACCCAAUUUCAGACCUCCACAAUAUAUAUUAAUUAUCGAGUUUCUUAAAUUUCGAACGACUUGAAAUAAUUAGUUUUAGAACAUUCAAAAAUUUCAAGUUAUUUUAGUCGCUUUUAUAAUUUUUAAGUAAUAUAUAUGUUUUGUAUAAUUUUGUAUAUAAUUAGUAUAUAUUUUAUAAAUAUUGCGAAAAUCAUCUCAAAAAGAUUCUAAUUUUAGUAAGUAUUUUAUUAAAUUAGUUUAGUUUAACUUAUGGUUUUAAUUUUGAGUCAGUUAAGUUUAAAUGAGUUUGUUAUUUCAUUUCGUUGAGAUUAAGAAGCUCGUCAAUUAAUUUAUAUUAAUUCGUCUCGUUUAAAGUUUUGACCAAAUUCUUCGAUUGAAUUUGAUUUGGUUACGAUUGAAAGUUACAUGGACAAUUAUUCUUUAUCAAUUUAUCUCAACCAAUUAAAGGGCCAAUUUUGGGCCUUCUAUGUUGCAUGACCAACAGCCCAUCUCAUCUUUUCCCAAUUCCCAUUCCAUUAAUUUCCAUUAGUUCCCAGCUAAUUAAUCCAACCGACACAACCCACUAAGAACCCAUUUUUCCACUCCCAAUUGUCAGCCCAAUACAAUAUACAAUACAUACAAUCAUUCCCAGCCCACCGACAUACAACAUACAAUUAUAACAACUUACAACCAACAACACUAAACCGACAAACCCCGACCCACAUUUUAAACCCCCACCCGGCCCUUUCUAAUUCACAAAAGAAAAUUAGAAGAGAUUUCCAGCAGCCCCAACGUUCUAAAACAACUAGCGGACGGCGUCUUCACAAUUUCUGUCAAAUUAGACGGAAAGCGGUAGCGGCAUCAGUGUGCAGAAAGCGUACACUGUGUGCUUUGUCUCCUUCCUCAGAUGUCCCUCUCAGUUUCGUACUAGUAGCAGCAACACACGGCUGUCCCCAUUUCCUCUUCCGGAAUGGGGACGAAAUUUCAGAAAAAGGGUGUUUCCCUUAAUUGGUGAAAGGAAUUGGGAGUUUGAAAUUGGGGUUGGCCUCAAUUUCUAUCCGUUUUUCCCUCCACAUUCCGAACCGGAACUCUGGUCUAUAAUUACCCUCUUUUCCAUUCACUGUAAGGGGGAGAAAAAAUUGGAAAAGGGUAAAAAAUUUUGAGUCAAGAAAAAGGGAAAAGAUUGAAAAAGGGUGGAGUUUUUAUCGAUAUACGGACGUAGAGAGAAAAUGAUAUACGAAAAUAUAGAUAUAUAAGGGAUACAAAAAUAGCAAGGAGGACGAUUUUUUAUCCUUUCUAUUGUUAUUCGCUUUGCUUGUUUAUUGGGAUUUUUUCGAGGUCCAAGCUUGUGGUGGGGGAAGCUCGCAUCUUUGGCUCAUUCGGUCUCCAUUUCGCUGCCAUCGAAAAGGUAAACUUCACUUUGAUCUUAGCUCAUUUUGGUUGAUGUUUGUGUGAGAGUUGAAGGUUUCUAUUGACUCUCCUCCCAUUCAUUCGAAUGCUUCAGUUUUGUUUGAGUUACUGCUAAUGUCUGAUAAAAGAUUUUCGUAUCACCAGUUGGUGUUUUAGUUGAUUGAAGCGUGGAGUAUAUUUAUGUGUGUGAUUUUUGCCCAGAAUGCCGUGAUUAAUGGUUUAGCUCGCCUCUGAUUUUUAUGACCAAAGUUUAUUUCCUGGUUCUUGUUUGGCUGCUGUUAAUGGCGCUUUUCUUCUAAAAAAUGGCGGUGGAAUCUUAAACUAGCUAGUAUGAAAGUUGCUUGUCGUUUUUUUUUUAGCUAUAUUUUGUUGAUGUAGUCACUAUUUUCUCCCCAUUUUGAAUUUUCGAACUGUCUUGCUGUCCAACAUGCUUUGUUUAAAUCGAGUUUAUGUCAUCAUUUUGUUUAAAUUUAAAUUCAAAGUGCUCACCAUUUGUAAUUGAGUUAUGAAAUGCAAGGUUUUGAUUUUUCUUUAAGAUACAACUUGUUGCAAUUCUUGUUUUCUUUCCAAGUCAUUGCAUAUUUCUUUUCUUUCUGAGCAUCUUUGCGGAUUGGCAUACACAUGCUCUUAACCUCUUUCGAUGUCUGGAUCUGUUAAAGAAUCGCAUAAGAAUAUCAGUUUAGUAUGUGUUGCUCACCUUAUUUGGUCGCUAAAUUCGUUAAGAAGAUUGUUAAAUAGCACGUUCAAUAUUCUAAAAAAUAAAUUCAUUAUUGCCUCCCCAUCCACUACAUGGAAUAUGAUCCCUAUGUUCAUUAGUAUAGCUGUUGGUCCAACCUUCUAUUUUUAUUUUAUUUUAUUUUUCUUUCUUAUUUCAUAUAACUGAUCCAAUGAUUACUUAUUUACUAUUUUGGUUUUAACUUGGUUAAGACUUGUAUCAUCGCUCUUGUUGUUAUUUCUUUUGAUGACUCAUUUGCAUGCUUGAAGUAAUAUAAUUAAUGCACCAUUGACCUUAACACUUGGAUAAGUUUGGAGCAGUUGAUUGGUUUUAUUCCAUUUUUUAGACUAUAUACGUCUUCCCUGCUUUGGUUGAUUAAAGUAGUGGCCUCUUUUAUAUUGUUUUAUGUUAUCUCAUUAGUUUAUUAUUAUUUAUUCCAUGUCUCUUUCAUUUGGCUAAUUUGUUUCUCUUUUUCUGUAUCAUGUGAUUUCGUAUGGAGUCUGAGUUGGAUUCAAAUCCUAUACCUUUUCGCACUUCGAAUCGGGCUAUGAGGGCCCAAUUUUCUUUUUUCUUUUGAGUCAGCCAGCCAUAGCAAAUCGAAGAAUAGAUCCCCAAAAAAAUUCGGUGUACAGGUGUUCGGAGCAUAUAUACAAGAUUGUGUACACUAGUAUACAUCUAGUGUAUACAAAAGAAGGGAAAUGGACCCAAAGGUCCGCUCUUAAUUCCAAAUUGUAUUUUGUUAUUUUUGGGCCUAAGCCGACUUAUCUAUUGUCUUGCUAGAAUCUAGGACAGGUGGAAUUGGGUCUAAGGUCCAAAGAAAAAAAACAUAUAUUUCUUUUUAUGUUAGUUUAAGACAGGUACAUGUGAUUCAAAUGGGUCAAAGGCCCAAAACAAAAAAUGGACUCAAAUAUUGGCCCAGGCGGACAGAAAAACCAAACUUGGGCCCAAAUCCCUCUCCCUCUUUGUUUUAUUAUGCUCCCUUACUUGUUAGUAUUUGCCGUAAUUUUAAGGUUGGAAAAUUUAAAUCCCCGAAAGAUGUCUAUUUUCGCUUUAAAAGAAAAUUAACUAAAUUAGCCAUCCCUUAACAAGAUUUAAAGAAAUAAUUUUAUAAGAUAGCUCCAUUAGAUAAUAUUUCUCUUUUUCCCCUUUAAAAUGGUUCUAACUAUAAAAAUUGCUCAAAUCAAAUUAAGUUAAAUUAUUUUAGCCAAAUAAAUUAAUUGUCGGAUAACCGCAUUAGCGGAUAUUCCAGGUGCUUUAAAAACCUUCCUAGAAUAUUAAUAGGAACCUCGAACCCCUCUUUAAAUAUUUUCAAUCGAUUUCCUGUUUUUUAUCGUUUGAAAAAUCAGUUUUUUUAAUUUUUCUACAAAAAUUAAGUGGCGACUCUAAAAUCAGUCUAAAUUAUAUUUUAAAAUAAAACAACUAUGAACUAAAAUUAUAGAAAUAUUUUAGAUCCCAAGGUAUUGAUAGCAAAAUAUUAGGCGAAAUGAAAUGGUCAAUUAUAUGAAUUAUUCAAAGUUUAAUAGAAUUAUUGAGAUUUUUUUUCAUAUUUACUUUUCAUUUAAUGAGGUUUUUAACUACUUUACAUUUUCUAUCAAAACAUGAUGGAGAUAUAGACCCUCUAAAAUAUGUGUUGGUGUGAAAUCCAAUGUUUCAGUUCCUUUGAAAUGGACGAUGGAUAAAGAUUUUUAAAAAUGUUAUAAAAAAAUUGACUAGUAUAAUAUGUUAGAUGAUGUGCUAAAUAAAUUAAACUAAUAAAUUUUAUUAGAUAUAUUUAUGUUGUUUGAAUUUUAAAAGUACUAUAUAUUGAUAAUGCAUCUUCACAUAAAAUUCAUGAAUUUACUCAUUUUAUUGGACACCUACCACUUAGGUUAUCUAAUAAUAAAUGUAUCGUGAGCCAAACUCCCCACUUGACGAUCCUUUUCAUCAAUCCGAUAAUCGUUUGUGAUGAAUUCUCAUAAAGCAUGUAGAUAAACUUCACUCUAUACAUUUUACAAAUAGCAGAAGAAAAAAUUGUCAUAACUAAAGCAAAUAUUAUUAAUAAAAUUUUUAAAAUAAUAACAUAAUAUCUUAUUUAUUCAAUAGCAUGAUAAUGUUUUCAAAGAUACGGUGAAUGAUAAAUUGACCUCAGUUUAUAAGUCUUUUUAAAAAGUGAAAAUAUAUAAGAUAAUAUUAAGGAUAUUUAUAAAGGAUUGUGACUAUUCCAUCUUUUGAACAUAACAAAACAUUCUUCAGGCUUGUACGUAGGAACCAGCUCUGUGUCAUGCUCCCUAUUAAAAAAAAAAAACAAAUAAAGUAAAAUAAUAAUAAUCAAAAGCUAUUAAAAAAAAUCAAUCUAGCUAAAUUAAGAUAAAUUAAUUAUCUCAAUUCUAAUAUAACUUAUAUAGUGUAAAAUUAGUGGCACAGUUAAUUUUAAAUACCUUCACGGUUGCACAAGUCAUUUUGUUGGAGUAAGAUCUCGUAUAACUACAAUGAUACGAUAUUAGAAAAAUGAUUAAGUACUAUCAACUAACUUAAUGAUUAGUUUUAAUUGAAAAUUCAUAAUUGUAAUUAAGGAUGUUAAAUUUGGAGAUUAAUCACUCAGCAACUUGAUUAUUUACGUUCCAUGGACACCAAUCAUCGUCAAUAGAGUAGUUUAGAGACUUUAUCCAUGUUUGUGUGUCUUGAAAAGGUACUAUAUAAUCAUGAUCUCCACUGUUAAAUUAAACAUGAAAAAAAAAACUUCCAUUAUAUAUAUAUAUAUAUAUUCAUGAAAUAAGUUGUUUCUGUUGGAAAGCUAUAUUUGAUGAUAAGGAACGAAUGGACCUCCUUUAAAGUUUUAUGACACAUAUUUGUGAACAAUUAAAUCCCAUAUCUCCAAAGACAAAUAUGUGCACAAAAUUGAAAGAGAGGUAGCAUUUCGUCAAAGGCAAAAGAGUAAAAAAGAUGACAGAGUCCAUAGAAGAGUCAAAACUGGAAAUAGUGAUGUUCCCAUGGCUUGCUUUUGGUCACUUAAUCCCAUACAUGAAUCUGUCAAAUGAACUUGCAAAAAGAGGUCACAAAAUCUCAUUCUUGUUGCCCAAAAAUGCUGAAGUUAGACUUCAAAAACUCAAUCUUUACCCAAAUCUCAUCACAUUACAUAAACUGACAAUGCCUCACGUUCAUGGCCUUCCAUAUGGAGCAGAGACUACAGCUGAUGUUCCUGGAUCCUUGGAGAGUCUAUUAGCAACAGCUUUUGAUGAAAUGUAUGGUGAAGUCAAAUCUUUUCUUCAAAAUCUGAAACCCCAUUUUGUUUUCUUUGAUUUUGCUUAUUGGAUUCCUGAUUUAGCACUAGAAAUUGGGGGUAUCAAGACUCUCUGUUACAAAGUUGUUUCCCCUGCUGUAACAUCUAUAGCUUUGAUUCGAUCAUCGGUUAAGACUACAUUUAUGGCAUCAACUGCAGCUGAGCUAGUAAAGCCACCACCAGAUUACCCUUCUACUACCGUGGUGUUGCGUGAAAGUGAAGCUAAGUUGUUAUCAUUUCUAUUUCAUGAAUAUGGCAAGGGGGUGACAUUUUACGAACGAUCCAAGAAGGGAAUGACAGGAUGCAACGCAAUAGGUGUGAAAACAUGUAGAGAGAUUGAAGGAACCUUUUGUGACUACAUAGCAACACAAUUUGAAAAGCCAGUCCUGUACACAGGGCCUGUUCUUGCUGAACCGACAAAGGGGCCUUUAGAAGAACAUGGAUUAUCGGAUUGGCUCGAGAAAUUCGAGGCAGGAUCAGUAGUGUUCUGUGCAUUUAGGAGCCAAAUGAUUCUUGAAAAGAAACAGUUUCAACAACUUGUUUUAGGCUUUGAACUGACUGAGUUACCAUUUCUUUUAGUUGUUAAGCCACCUGAAGGGACAAAUUCAGUAGAAGAAGCCUUGCCGGAGGGAUUCAAAGAAAGGGUUCAAGAAAAAGGAUUGAUUCUUGAUUGUUGGGUGCCACAAUUGGAGAUUUUAAGUCACAAAUCAGUUGGUUGUUUUGUGACUCACUGAGGUUAUGGGUCGAUGUGGGAGUCUUUGGCGUUGUGUGAUUGUCAAUUGGUACUUUUGCCAAGGCCUAUUGAUCACAUAUUAAAUGCUAGACUGAUGGAACAACAACUUAAGGUUGGUGUAGAAGUGGAGAAGGAUGAAAAUGAUUUGUUUACAAAGGAGAAUUUGUGCAAGGCUGUGAAAUGUGUUAUGGAUAAAGAUAGCCAAAAUUGGUCGUCUUGUGAAAGAGAAUCAUAAGAAAUGGAAGGAACUUCUUUCGAGUCCUGGCUUCAUGAGUAACUACAUCGAUAACUUCAUUCAAGACUUGCAUGAACUUCUAGUUCAAAAGACCUAGAUAAUUAGCAGAGGUGGAUCUAAUGUUGAAGUUACGAGUUUGCAGAAUUCAGUGUAUUGUGUUAAGAAAUUUUAUUUAAUAUGUAUGAAUAAUCCAUCCCAACCGAUUCAGAGUUUAUAAACUCAA
RNAcentral lists this long non-coding RNA (63089 nucleotides) under Solanum tuberosum (potato). Its description in RNAcentral is "long non-coding RNA (STUB_LNC005229)". Lineage: Eukaryota; Viridiplantae; Streptophyta; Magnoliopsida; Solanales; Solanaceae. The record is from RNAcentral.